AACAUUAAAACUCGGCAUUUCAUCAAACACUUGGAGUGCGUGUUCGAGUAAUCGCGCACGUCCAUAAAAGCUAAUAACAUUGCAGAAAAUUAUUUCCUCGGGAAUAACACGGGUGUCGUGUUUGAGCUGGUGAAGGAUUUGCUGCAUUUCGUCAAACAUCUUGGCUCGGCCAAGCUUAGUGAUGAUAAGGUCAUAGUGAAGGAGAUUGUAGCGAAAGGGUUUUAAUGGAGGGGCUUCAGUGUCAUUGGCAUUAGGAUUAGGGUUUUUGAAGAGUUGCAGAGCGAGUUUCGGGUGUUUUUGGAGGUGAAGAAGAGAGGCGAGCCUGAAGGGAGAUGUGGGUUUUGCUUUAUUCAUGUAGUUUUUUUAGAUGGGGUACUGAAACUUGGAAACGCAGUUAAUAAACAUUAAAGAUUGCCUUAUUCAGGUAGUUUUGUCUAGUCAUAUUUUUUAAAUUUUUAUUAGUCGAUCACAAAGUUUGAGAGACUCUUUUAUCUCACAAAUAUCACAUUUUCCUUAUGAACAGAAAAAAUUUGUACACACAUAAUCUUGAUUUUCUGAAAUAUAAGCAUGAAAUCAUUUUCUUAAAUAUUGACGGUGUAAUCAAGACUAUUAUGUGAUUUAUUCAUUCAUAUAUAAAAUGGCAAGAAUUAAAAUCAUUAAGGUAUAUACAUGUGGUCAUUAUGUCAUACUUGUAUGAAAAUAAUAUUUUACAACACCCAAAGUGCUUGUCUGCCCAAUACUUUAUGUCCUCUUUUGAGCAUUUUCAUAUAUAUAAAUAUAAGUAAAGUAUUAAAGAGAAGAAGCAGUUAAGUGAUUAAAACUCGAUUGAAACGUUCAACCUAUCAUGCAAUCAAAUAAAUCAUCGGGUCAUUGCUAAUUUUUAUUUUUAUUCAAUAAUCUUAGAGAUUCCAAUGUUUUAGUUUCAACUUCAUUCCUGAUUCUAUGUGUCAUUUAUUUAUUAAAUGAUGGAUUUCACAACUUGUACAUUUCUUUAAUUACUAUCUAAUGGAUGAAUGCUACAUCAACUAAGACUUAAAUUGAAACUCAAAUGUUAGGAUGCCUAACUCAAAUAUUAAUGCUACUUGUGCACUUGGUUAAAAACAAAAGAUUGUUACUUGUACACAACGGCCACGUAAAUAAAUUGAGAAACAUCCCCAGUUUUAUCAGAGGAAAUUUAUAUAUUGACCUUAAUUAAAUACUAAAUAAUAUUAGACUUUAUGAUGGUCUCAGUCACUAAAGUCUUUGCAAAUUGAAUUCAUCAAUGAAAAUGGAUGCUUUACAGGCGACUCAAUCCCAAGAAAAUCAUGAAGGAAGUUAUGAUUCGAGAUGAAGAUGAUGAUGAUUAUUUUUCUUUUUCUCUUAGUAAAUGGAUGCACAGUUAGGAUAAUAAUUUUGUUUUCAAAAAAUUUGUACACACAUAAUCUUGAUUUUCUUAAAUAUAAGAGCGCAAUCAUUUUCUUAAAUAUUGACAGUGUAAUCAAGACUAUUAUGUGAUUCAUUCAUUCAUAUAUAAAAUGGCAAGAAUUAAUGUUGCGUUUACUUCAUGCAAUGAGACUGGGGUAGAAUGAAAAUGGGUUGGGAAUGUGAAUGGGUUGAAAUGGGAAUGAGAUUCCAAUGUUUAUUUGGCAAAAAUAAAUGGGAAUGAGAAUGUGCUGGAAUGUCGUUGAUGUGUUAACUUGGCAAAAUAAAUGGGAAUGAGGAAUGAAAAUGAGAAUCAAUUUACCAAAAUACCCAUAGUAUUAAAUAAUGUAAUUUUCAUUAACUAGAUACAUGUAUAAAUAUUAAUUAUAAAAAUGAUAUUAAUUAAAAAAAUUAAAUUAAUAAUAAUAAUAAAUGUUAAUAAUGAUAAUAUUAAUAAAAAUAAUAAUAACAAUAAUUAAUAAUAACUAAAAUAAUAAAAUUUAACUGUAAUAAUAAUAAUGACAUUUAAAAUAAUAAAAUUAAUUGUGAUUUGAACGAGGGAAAUUCGAGAAAUAUGAAAAAAUUAAAGGGAUAUAAAAGUCAGAUCAGGGAAUGGGAAUCCCCAUUCCCAACCCUCCAUGGAAUGAGAUUCCCAUCCCUUAUUCCCAAAUUGUGUGGGACUUACACAUUUUAUUUCCAUUCGCAAAUUACAUUCUAUCAAGUAAAUAUAGGUUUCAUUCUCAUUCCUUCAUUCUCAUUCUCUAAACCAUCAGGUAAACACACCAUAAAAUCAUUAAGUAUAUACAUAUGACAAGAAUCAAGAUCAUUGUGUCAUACAUGUAUGAAAAUAAUAUUUUGCAAUACCCAAAGUGCUUGUCUGCCCAAUAUUUUAUGUACUCUUUUAAGCAUUUUCAUAUAUAUAAAUAUAAGUAUUAAAGAGGACAAGCAGUUAAGUGAUUAAAACUCAAUUGAAACAUUCAACCUAUCAUGCAAUCAAAUAAAUCAUUAGGUCAUUGCUAAUUUUAAUUUUUAUUCAAUAAUCUUAGAGAUUCCAACGUUUCAGUUUCAACUUAAUUCCUAAUUUCAUGUGUUAUUUAUUUAUUAGAUAAUGAAUUUCAUAACUAAUAAAUUUCUUUAACUAUUAUCUAAUGGAUGAAUGCUACAUCAAUUAAGACUUAAAUUGAGACGUAAAUGUUAGAAUGCCUAACUCAAAGAUUAAUGCUACUUGUGCACUUGGUUAAAAACAAAAGAUUGUUACUUGUACACGACGGCCACAUAAAUAAAUUGAGAAACCUUCCCAGUUUCAUCAGAGGAAAUUUACAUAUUGACCUUAAUUAAAUACUGAACAAUAUUACACUUUAAUUAUGAUGGUCUCAGUCACUAAAGUCUCUGCAAGUUGAAUUCAUCAAUGAAAAUGGUUGUUUUACAGGCGGCUCAAUCCCAAGAAAAUCGUGAAGGAAGUUAUGAUUCGAGAUGAUGAUUAUUAUUUUUCUUUUACCCUUGGUAAAUGGAUGAGAUUCAAAUUGAGAAACGUGAAGGUCGGUUGCUAGAACUUCAAACAAAAAAAAAAUUAUUGUUAAUAGGUGCAUCAGCUGAGAAUAGUUACAAAACUUUUAAAUUAGCUUUUAAAUAUGAGUUAACUCUAUAACAGACAUAAAACAAUGAAGAGAAAAUCGGAAACACAAACCAAUAGAGUAAUGACAUGAGUAUAUAUUAUGAUCAAUUAAUUUGUCUUUUAAUUAUUUUUCAAAAACAUUAAUAAGUAAUUAAGUUUUGCUUGACCAAGUGGUUUUAAAGAGUUUGAGUUCAUUAAUUUGACUUGGUCCACUUACCUACCUUUCUGGAGGGCCAAAAAAAAAAAAAAAGGCGAGGUUUGUACUUUAGUUAAUUAUUUUUUUUUUCCACGUUGAUGCGUGUAUCCUUGUGGAGGUAAUAAUUAAUAACAAGUCAUAACUAGUCAUGAUCCAAUUGGAAGGGAAAACUAAUUUCCAAGAAUAUGCAAUGAUCAAAUCAAAUAGACCAAAAUCUCUAGACGACCUGGUAUUAUAUUUUUUAAUAAAAUCGUUAACUGAAACUUGAUGAUCAAGUCAAAUAUUAUCAAAACGGGUUGACUGACAUAGGUCCAUUCUUCACUUAACUGAUUAUCUUUGAAGACUUAAUUUGCUAUACAAAGGAUUUGUUGCAAUUGUACAUGUAUCAACUUGUUUUCUUGCCUUAUUGUUUUCUAUUAAUUUUUGUGAAGGCUAACAGAGCAGAUCAUAACAGCAACGGCAGUGGGAAGUCUCUUAGCAGGGGCUAUUCUAGGUGUUGCGUUUCAAGAGAUGACGGUGGCGAUUAAAGAAUCAAAGUCAAGGUGCAGCAACUUCAGAGACGCCCUAAAUAGCCUCGAAAACACCAUCAACCUGUUAAGUCCUUUGAUCAAAGAAAUGGAUAGGUUAAAUUGAGAGCUGGAGGACUCUAAUAAAAGAGAAGAGAUCAGUCGUUUGUUUCUUCAACAGCUGAAGAAAGGGGAAGCUCUGGUUUCAAAGUGCUCAAGCAUCCGUCGCUGGAACUUGUACAAGAAGAGGAAAUACGAAAAAAGGCUUCGGAAUAUGGAUUCUUCUCUUCGUGACCUUUCCGCAGUGCUCCAGGUUGGACAAGCGCUUGAUACCCAGCGCCUUCAACGUAUAAUACAAGAUAUGUACCACUAAUUAAUUAAGGGCGCCGGGCACGAUUACUUUUGUUAUGCCCAGCCGAUGGGUUGCCGCAGCCUAGCUGUUGGGGCCUGUGAGUGCUGAUAUUUAAAAUAAAAAAAAUUAACAAAUAAAAUUAUGAUACUGUGGGUGUUAGAGAAAAAAUAAUUAAUUAAUAGUAUAACUCUGCAAGGUAUGAUAGUUCAUUAUUUUGUUGGAAAUAAUGCGUAUCGAAUUAUUAUGUUAUAAUAUGGAAAAAAAAGUUUUUUAUAUUAAAAAAUUAUCAAUAUAGAUUUUUUAAAUUUAUUUUUAAAAAAUUUAAACAUACGCAUACUGCAUGGGACUUAUGACAUGCAACCUACCCCAGUCAACUCAUUUGAUAAUACAUAACUUGAUCGCUUGAUCUGCAAGUUAUAUUGUCCUCUCAAAUUAUUAAAAAAAAAAAAAUUGAUCUGCAAGUUUCAAUUAACUAUUAGUAAUAACAUCCAUUCGUCUAGAACUCGGCAUAUUGAUUUCAUCAUUGCAUGUUCUUAGAAAUUUCAUCAUGACUAGUUAGUAGUUAACUAACCACCUUCAAGGAAAGAGUAGUAUGUACAAAAGAACAAAAAGGAGGACAAAAACGAUAAAAGAUAAAAUAAAUAAAUAAAUAAAAAGACAACUCGUUACUUUAAACUAGUUGAUUGUUCGUACACAUGUCAUUAUUCAAUUGGAUCAUGUCCUCCAUUUUUUCUCCAUUUUUGUACAUCAAUUAUGGGCUAAGGCUUCAAGCUAAAUAUUUUAUUGAUAAAAAUCAAGACUAUCAUGUAAUUUAUAAAUGGUGAGAUUUUUAAGGAGUUCUAGUCGAAUAAUUUGGGCUUUGCCCGUACUCCUACUCUAGACGACCAUAUAUAUAUAUAUAUAUAUAUAUGUACGAAUGAAAUAAGAUGAUCAUUAUAGUUACAAAAUUUUAUACAAAUUAUUUUUGUAUAAACUAAUGUGACAUUAUAUAAUUGAGAGUGAUGAUACCUCAUUUUCAAAAUAUAAUUAUAAAAGAUAGUCAGAGAACCUUAGAAAAAAAAUUAAUAGAAGGAUUUAAUUGAUUAACUAUACAAAACUUUUAUUAAUUUGUAUUUUUUAGGAAUAUUGUCAACUUAUUGUAAUUGUUUUCUAGAAAUGGGGUGGAUUUACAAAAAUAGUGGGUGGAAAUAUCCCCAUCCUAUAAUUGAUUGAACCACAUAAAUAAGAGUAAAAAUAAAUCACUUGAAAUUUUAUUAAUACCCCUUAUUUUUUUCUAAUUUUCAUAUAAUAAUAUAUUUUUUAUUUUAUUUUCAUGUAUGUCCCAAAUCGAAUCCUUUUUUUUAAUCCAUUGGAGUGAGAAUAUAUUGAAUAGAUUUUGGGGGCUAAAAUGUUAUAAUUGCUUUAACUUAUUAAAAAAAAGGUUAUUGUUUAGUCUAAUUGAAAGACAAAUAUGUCAAUGCAUUAUAGAAUUUGGAUCCUCUCCUUUUUUUUUUUUUUUACUUCUCUCUCCUUGCUUCUCCUUGCCUUCAUAAUCUAGUAAAAAAAGCUAGCUUGAUUGUAAAUAAAGUGAAAAAGACAAACACAAAACUCGAUCUUAACCACUCACUAAAUAAGGACAGGCAAUGACAGAAAAAAAGAGAAGGAGAGGAUCUUUCUCCUGUAUUAAAACAUCGAUCGUCACUGGUAUUAUAAAGUUAAAAUGGCAUAUAGUAUAAUUAAUUUAACAACAUUUUCAUAAUUUUAUGAUUUAUUUUCUUUACAGCCAUAUGUUCUCUUUUUCUAUUUAUUAUAUCAAAUUAUUUAAAUAUGUCACAUUCUCUAUUACUAAAAUAAACAAGAAUCGCAUAAAUAAUUUUUCAUUGCACAAUUUUAAUAAUUUAUAUUAUUAUAAGCUUAUUGUUGCAUUAAUGUUGUUGUUAUUUUAUUAAGUAUAUGUACUUCGCUAAGAGCUUUAAUGCUGUGUUACUCGAUAUAUGUGUUUAUUUUUUACUCCUCUACAUAUACCGGCACUCACAUAAAUACUUAAAAUAAAUAUAUAAAUUAAUCCAGACUAAUUAAAAGUCCUGAGUCCUGUUUAGUUAAUUUGCUGUCUUUGAAGCCUUAAUUUGCUAUAUAAAGGAGUAGUUGCAGCUGUGCAUGACCAACUUGAUUUCUUGCAUUAUUGUUUUGUAUUAAUUUUUGUGAAAGCUAGCAAAGCAGAUCAUAUAUCUAUAUAUAUAUAUAGCUAACGGCGGGCAAUGGAAGAACCGGUAACGAUGACGGCAAUGGCAGCGGGAAGUCUGUUAGCAGGGGCCAUUCUAGGUGUUGCGUUUCAAGAGAUAACGGUGGCGAUUAAAGAAUCAAAGUCAAGGUGCAGCAACUUCAGAGACGCCCUAAAUAGCCUUGAAAACACCAUCAGCUUGAUAAGUCCUUUGAUCAAAGAAAUGGAUAGGUUAAAUCAAGAGCUGGGGGACUCUAAUAAAAGAGAAGUGAUCAUUCGUUUGUUUCUUCAACAACUGAAGAAAGGGGAAGCCCUGGUUUCAAAGUGCUCAAGCAUCCGUCGCUGGAACUUGUGCAAGAAGAGGAAAUACGAAAAAAGGCUUCGGAAUAUGGAUUCUUCUCUUCGUGAGCUUUCCGGAGUGCUUCAGGUCGGACAAGCGCUUGAUACCCAACGCCUUCAACGUAUACUACAAGAUAUGUACCAUUAAAUAAGGGCGCCAGGCGCAUUUGCUUUAGUUGUGCCGAGCAAAUGCGCUGCCACAGCCCAGCUAUUGGGGUGUGUGAGCACUGAAACUCCAAUAACACCAUACGGUGUUAGAAGAAAAAGACAAAAUAAUCAGUCAAUACUAUAAUACCACACUGUAUUAUAGCUUAAUAAUCAGUUAAUACUCUAAUACCACACUGUAUUAUAGCUUAUUUUGUUAUCGUUUUAUGAGCUUUUCGUCUUUAGUAGGUGGUUUUUCAAUUUAUUUUAUAACAUUUCAUCUAUGUUUCCAUAAUUAUGCAAACUAAACACUUAUGAACUUUUCCUUGAUAGUUAUAGUUUUUAUUUCAUAUCAGUUAUAGCCUAAAAAUCAUAUCAUGCAUGUCGUACCAAACAAAGCCUAAAUUAAUUUUUACACAUGCAUGCGCUUCAUUGGUAGGAUUCUUUAAAGAUUAUAUCUGCUAUUGACUAUUCACACUUCAGUUAUUAGCUUCUUUUAGUUUGUGUUAAAAAUCUGCAAUUUUUUUUCGGUUAUUAGUUAAUAAAGCAUCUCAAACUUUAAAUUGGUAAUGAUACCAGGUCGUGAAGAGCUAGGUUUAAUGAUUUGAUCAUUGCAUAAUCUUGGAAAUUAAGUUAAACUUGCGGGCCAAUUUGCAUCAUGACUAGUUAACGACGGGGUUGAAACCUUGAAAGUAACGCUAAGUUUUAUAAUUUAUCUACGUCGCGUACAAGUAGCACUAAUCUUUAAUUAAAAAAAAAAAAAAAACCGAAGGUGAAGAUCAAACUUUAAAUUGGUAAUGAUACCAGGUCGUGAAGAGCUAGGUUUAAUGAUUUGAUCAUUGCAUAAUCUUGGAAAUUAAGUUAAACUUGCGGGCCAAUUUGCAUCAUGACUAGUUAACGACGGGGUUGAAACCUUGAAAGUAACGCUAAGUUUUAUAAUUUAUCUACGUCGCGUACAAGUAGCACUAAUCUUUAAUUAAAAAAAAAAAAAAAACCGAAGGUGAAGAUCAAACUUUAAAUUGGUAAUGAUACCAGGUCGUGAAGAGCUAGGUUUAAUGAUUUGAUCAUUGCAUAAUCUUGGAAAUUAAGUUAAACUUGCGGGCCAAUUUGCAUCAUGACUAGUUAACGACGGGGUUGAAACCUUGAAAGUAACGCUAAGUUUUAUAAUUUAUCUACGUCGCGUACAAGUAGCACUAAUCUUUAAUUAAAAAAAAAAAAAAAACCGAAGGUGAAGAUCAGUACUUACAUGUUCACCUGGUACAUAAUUGUUUUGGCAUCUUUUCAAACCUCUUCUUGUUCUUUAACUUGUUUGACAAGAAGAUUCGAAAUAUUUAACUCAAUUCCCUUCCUAACUCCAUUUUUAUCCCAUUUAUGUGUGCUUGACCAGUUAAUAAUGAACACCAAAUUAAUAUAAUUAAAGGGUACCAGGCUUUUUUAGUCCAAUAAUGAAAGAAUUGGGGGAGGUGCUUUCAGCAAUUUUUUUGAGAACACCCAUUCAAAUCUUCAUUGACUGAAUUUUAAUCCUCAUACUUAGGUGGCGUUUGUUUUUUUGUCUGAAAUCUGAAUAGACCUGAAUUAGUCUGAAUUCUGAAUAGGUCUGAAUGUCUGAAUCUGAAUAAUAUGUUUGUUUUUUCGUCUGAAUCUCGGAAAAUAAGUAUUAAGUUGUUUGUUUUUUUCAACUUAAAAAGCUGAAAAUAUGUACUUUUACAUUUGUAUCCUUAUUAAAUUUGAAUGUCAAAUAAAUAAUAUAUUAAAUACCAUAAUAUUUUAACAUUUAUAAGUAAAACUAUAUUCAAGUGAAUACAUAAUUAUUUUAGAAUUUUAAUAUGUAAAAUGCCAUAAAUUUCAAAUUUUAUCGUAUAUAAUAUAAGAAAGAAAAAAUAGGGAUAUUUUUAUGUGAGGUAAAUAUCUAUGGGUGAGUUUUGGGAUAGACAUGAAAAAUAAAUUAUAAAACAUGGAUAUUUUUGACAUAUGGGUGAGAUAGAUACAUCUCACUUAAUAUCGGUGAGAUAGAUACAUCUCCUCAAAAAUUGGUAGAAGGAUAGAUAGAUCUCCUUGAGUGCGCGGAUAGAGCCGUAGAGUUAUCACCUUUAGUGGGCGUAGAUUUCUAAACUAUUCCUAGUAGACUCUAGCUAUUCAGUAUACACAUUGUGUUGAGAUAGUGCACUCAGUUCUUUAAACAUCUUUUAAAACUCAAACUAUGUUUUAACAGUAUUAGAUUCCGUUUUUUUAUGAUUCCUAUAUAUUAUGACCUCCGAUUGAAAAUCUAAAGCUACCAUUGGAAUCAGGAUGAAAAAUCGAGUCAGAAGGUGCCGGACCCGACGUCACCGGAGACAAAAAAGGCGGUGCAUGGUACUGUAUCGAUAUUAGCAAGCACUGUAUUGCGUUGAAUGCAUGCACCUGAUUGUGCAUGUGAUAUAAUGUAUUAAGAUUAAUAUUUUCAAUGUAUUUUGCUAUCCGGGAAUCUGAUUUGGGCGCCGUUUGCGCUGUUUGAUCCGAAAUUUAAUUUUCUAUUUAUUUUUAAAUUAGAAUCAAAAUUUUUUAAUUUUUAAUUAUGAAAUAAAAUUCGGAUCAAAUAUAUAUUAUUUAUUGGAUGAGCAUUAUACAUUCAUAAAUAUUUUGCUCUAGUGAGAGCUCAAAAAUAUUUAUUUCAUGGAAAGUGGCUGAAAUUUGAUUAUAUCUCAUGUUUUAGGUGUUUGUUAACAAUCACCAAUAUGAAUUUUAUGUUAUUUGUCGUAGAUGCCUCCCGUUAGAAAAUUGUGGACUGAGGAAGAGGGAUUAAUGACAAUUAGAGCUUGGGUUUCACCUAUGGAUCUAAUUGAAAUUAAUGAUGACUUAUCUCAUGAAGAACUUGUGAAGAAAAUGAAAAAUUAUAAGAUGGAUCCUGAUCGUACUGUGUGUAUGAAUAUAGAAGAUAUAUAUGACGUCUUUAUGCACUUAAUGUGUGGAAAAGCGAAUACUAAGUAUACAGACUGGGAUAAUUAUCAACGAAUCCUCAUCAAUUUCUUACUUGAUGAAGAUAAUACGCUUGUCUUUAAGGCUCCCAUGUUAGAGGAGAUCAAGGAUCCCUCGUACGCAUAUUAUAUGCUGAGGUGUGAAAUUGAGCUAAUGGAGGAGCGCCGUCUUGCUUAAAAAAUGAGGUGAACUUCAGUAUUUAGUACUCACAUGAGCCUUCAAAAUGGAAGACAAGCUAGUCGCCUUGGUAGAGGGUAAAAAUUAUGGUAUGAGAAAAUGAUAAACUGAAUCAUCGAGAAAGAAUAAUUAUUUUUAUAUGGACAUUUACAUGAUUAUAAGUUGGAUGAAAGAAUCUCGAGAAACAAAGAAUAUUUUAAGAACAUGUAGAAGAGUCGAGAUAUUAGUUUAACCAUGUUUGGUUAUUUCUUUCAUUUGUUAUGUUUUAUACUUUUAGAUGUUGUUUUUCUCUUAAUUGGUUGAACAAUAUGUUGCUAUGCUUUUAAUUGAAUUUCUACAUUAGUUGUUGCUCUACUUUAUAUAUGUUUUUACGCUAUCUCAUGAAUUAUUCGAUUGAGUGGGAGUUCUGAUCAAAAUUGAAUUUGAUGAAGUCAUGAUUAGAACUAAUAAUUUUGUGCAUUAAAAUUGAAUUAAUGAUGAAUAUAAUAAAAGGAAUCGGAUGAUGAUUGGAAGUUUCGAUGACCUUUUGAUUCCAUUCUCGAUAUUAAUUUAUCAUGUUUUUUUGUUUACAUUUGCGGCAAAAUUAAUUGUUUGUGUGUAAUUAUUACAUGUCUUUAUUGAUUGUAUUUUGAAUUGUCUCUGUGUUAAAAGAAAAUUAAGAUGGCAUCUGCAUCUAAAAAUAUUGUGGCUGAGUGAAUAAGGGUGAGAAGCUAAAUGGUGACAAUUAUGAUAUUUGGCCUAAAAGAGCAAGAGACUCUAGAAGCUCUCAACAACACCUUAGUUGAGCCUGAGCAUGGCAAUAGUGCUCAACACAGGAGGGAUCUUGAGGCUUACCAACCUAGAAAAAGAAGAAUAGCAAUGCUCGCAUAACGAUGUUGAGCAGCAUGCAAGAUGACCUCAUGUGUGAGUUUGGGAAGUAUAAGACUGCUUAAGAGAUGUCGCUCGCGCUGAAAGAUAAGUUUGGUGGCACUUCGACCACUAAGCUGAGAAGCUUACGAUCAAGUUUGAAUCUUAUCGGAAGCACCAUAAUCAUACUAUAAGACAACAUCUGAGAGAGAUGUCAAACAUGAUUCGUGAACUUGGCUUCAUAUUCUGACUGAUGAACAAUAAGUCCAGGCAGUAAUAAAAUGUCUACCUGAUUCUUGGGAAUACAUGAAGGUGAAUAUGACAUACAAUGAAAGUAUCAUAACUUUCAAUGAUACAGAACAUCACCUAGAGUUGGAAGCAGAGCGCCUUGAGGCUGUUAAGCCUCCUGAUCUUGUUUAUAUGUGUUGGUGUAUAAAUACUAAUGUUAUUGGUGUCAAUGUGCAAGUGUACACAACAAGUAAUAAAGUGAUGAGUAUUCAAGAUCGUCUCNNNNNNNNNNNNNNNNNNNNNNNNNNNNNNNNNNNNNNNNNNNNNNNNNNNNNNNNNNNNNNNNNNNNNNNNNNNNNNNNNNNNNNNNNNNNNNNNNNNNNNNNNNNNNNNNNNNNNNNNNNNNNNNNNNNNNNNNNNNNNNNNNNNNNNNNNNNNNNNNNNNNNNNNNNNNNNNNNNNNNNNNNNNNNNNNNNNNNNNNNNNNNNNNNNNNNNNNNNNNNNNNNNNNNNNNNNNNNNNNNNNNNNNNNNNNNNNNNNNNNNNNNNNNNNNNNNNNNNNNNNNNNNNNNNNNNNNNNNNNNNNNNNNNNNNNNNNNNNNNNNNNNNNNNNNNNNNNNNNNNNNNNNNNNNNNNNNNNNNNNNNNNNNNNNNNNNNNNNNNNNNNNNNNNNNNNNNNNNNNNNNNNNNNNNNNNNNNNNNNNNNNNNNNNNNNNNNNNNNNNNNNNNNNNNNNNNNNNNNNNNNNNNNNNNNNNNNNNNNNNNNNNNNNNNNNNNNNNNNNNNNNNNNNNNNNNNNNNNNNNNNNNNNNNNNNNNNNNNNNNNNNNNNNNNNNNNNNNNNNNNNNNNNNNNNNNNNNNNNNNNNNNNNNNNNNNNNNNNNNNNNNNNNNNNNNNNNNNNNNNNNNNNNNNNNNNNNNNNNNNNNNNNNNNNNNNNNNNNNNNNNNNNNNNNNNNNNNNNNNNNNNNNNNNNNNNNNNNNNNNNNNNNNNNNNNNNNNNNNNNNNNNNNNNNNNNNNNNNNNNNNNNNNNNNNNNNNNNNNNNNNNNNNNNNNNNNNNNNNNNNNNNNNNNNNNNNNNNNNNNNNNNNNNNNNNNNNNNNNNNNNNNNNNNNNNNNNNNNNNNNNNNNNNNNNNNNNNNNNNNNNNNNNNNNNNNNNNNNNNNNNNNNNNNNNNNNNNNNNNNNNNNNNNNNNNNNNNNNNNNNNNNNNNNNNNNNNNNNNNNNNNNNNNNNNNNNNNNNNNNNNNNNNNNNNNNNNNNNNNNNNNNNNNNNNNNNNNNNNNNNNNNNNNNNNNNNNNNNNNNNNNNNNNNNNNNNNNNNNNNNNNNNNNNNNNNNNNNNNNNNNNNNNNNNNNNNNNNNNNNNNNNNNNNNNNNNNNNNNNNNNNNNNNNNNNNNNNNNNNNNNNNNNNNNNNNNNNNNNNNNNNNNNNNNNNNNNNNNNNNNNNNNNNNNNNNNNNNNNNNNNNNNNNNNNNNNNNNNNNNNNNNNNNNNNNNNNNNNNNNNNNNNNNNNNNNNNNNNNNNNNNNNNNNNNNNNNNNNNNNNNNNNNNNNNNNNNNNNNNNNNNNNNNNNNNNNNNNNNNNNNNNNNNNNNNNNNNNNNNNNNNNNNNNNNNNNNNNNNNNNNNNNNNNNNNNNNNNNNNNNNNNNNNNNNNNNNNNNNNNNNNNNNNNNNNNNNNNNNNNNNNNNNNNNNNNNNNNNNNNNNNNNNNNNNNNNNNNNNNNNNNNNNNNNNNNNNNNNNNNNNNNNNNNNNNNNNNNNNNNNNNNNNNNNNNNNNNNNNNNNNNNNNNNNNNNNNNNNNNNNNNNNNNNNNNNNNNNNNNNNNNNNNNNNNNNNNNNNNNNNNNNNNNNNNNNNNNNNNNNNNNNNNNNNNNNNNNNNNNNNNNNNNNNNNNNNNNNNNNNNNNNNNNNNNNNNNNNNNNNNNNNNNNNNNNNNNNNNNNNNNNNNNNNNNNNNNNNNNNNNNNNNNNNNNNNNNNNNNNNNNNNNNNNNNNNNNNNNNNNNNNNNNNNNNNNNNNNNNNNNNNNNNNNNNNNNNNNNNNNNNNNNNNNNNNNNNNNNNNNNNNNNNNNNNNNNNNNNNNNNNNNNNNNNNNNNNNNNNNNNNNNNNNNNNNNNNNNNNNNNNNNNNNNNNNNNNNNNNNNNNNNNNNNNNNNNNNNNNNNNNNNNNNNNNNNNNNNNNNNNNNNNNNNNNNNNNNNNNNNNNNNNNNNNNNNNNNNNNNNNNNNNNNNNNNNNNNNNNNNNNNNNNNNNNNNNNNNNNNNNNNNNNNNNNNNNNNNNNNNNNNNNNNNNNNNNNNNNNNNNNNNNNNNNNNNNNNNNNNNNNNNNNNNNNNNNNNNNNNNNNNNNNNNNNNNNNNNNNNNNNNNNNNNNNNNNNNNNNNNNNNNNNNNNNNNNNNNNNNNNNNNNNNNNNNNNNNNNNNNNNNNNNNNNNNNNNNNNNNNNNNNNNNNNNNNNNNNNNNNNNNNNNNNNNNNNNNNNNNNNNNNNNNNNNNNNNNNNNNNNNNNNNNNNNNNNNNNNNNNNNNNNNNNNNNNNNNNNNNNNNNNNNNNNNNNNNNNNNNNNNNNNNNNNNNNNNNNNNNNNNNNNNNNNNNNNNNNNNNNNNNNNNNNNNNNNNNNNNNNNNNNNNNNNNNNNNNNNNNNNNNNNNNNNNNNNNNNNNNNNNNNNNNNNNNNNNNNNNNNNNNNNNNNNNNNNNNNNNNNNNNNNNNNNNNNNNNNNNNNNNNNNNNNNNNNNNNNNNNNNNNNNNNNNNNNNNNNNNNNNNNNNNNNNNNNNNNNNNNNNNNNNNNNNNNNNNNNNNNNNNNNNNNNNNNNNNNNNNNNNNNNNNNNNNNNNNNNNNNNNNNNNNNNNNNNNNNNNNNNNNNNNNNNNNNNNNNNNNNNNNNNNNNNNNNNNNNNNNNNNNNNNNNNNNNNNNNNNNNNNNNNNNNNNNNNNNNNNNNNNNNNNNNNNNNNNNNNNNNNNNNNNNNNNNNNNNNNNNNNNNNNNNNNNNNNNNNNNNNNNNNNNNNNNNNNNNNNNNNNNNNNNNNNNNNNNNNNNNNNNNNNNNNNNNNNNNNNNNNNNNNNNNNNNNNNNNNNNNNNNNNNNNNNNNNNNNNNNNNNNNNNNNNNNNNNNNNNNNNNNNNNNNNNNNNNGUACGGCCAAGGCGGAUGUACGGUACAGCAGAAUCAUUGUUCCAAAUAAUUUUUAAAAAUUAUAUUUAUUUUACUCUAAACCUUUAAUUUAGUAUAGCACAAAUAUUUUUUAUAACAUACAAAUAACUAUUGGUUUAUUACUAAGUGGAGGUCAAGUUUUUUUAGAGAGAAAUUAUAACUUAUCACAAUGUGAAAUUUAUUCUUAUUUAUAACUAACCCAAAUUAUGACUAGAACUUUUUAUGAUAAUAUGGACAUUAUCCUUAUAUAAAAUGUCACUAUACAGAGGUUCUACUAUAAUACUAGUGAUGAUGUUAUAGUAUAUUAACAUAAUGAUGUAGGACAACCCUAGAUUUAAUUUCUUUUUUUUUAGUUUAAUUAGGAUUUAUUUUCCUAUUUAAGUCAUACUCCUUUUCUUAUAAGGAAUCAUAAUUUUUUUAGGAAUAUGAUAAUCCUAACUAGUAUAAAUAGGCUUGUUAUGCUUUGUUUGUAGAUACAAGUUUUUCAUUAAUAAUACUCAGUAUUUCUCAAUUGAGAUAUUUUCUCCUUUGUGAGAGCCAUCUUUCUUGAGUUUUCAAGAACGUAUGCUAGAACAAAAUCUAGUAUUGCUUCUACCUGCAUCAAGUGGUAUCAGAGCAUUUGUUUGUACUAGAUAGAACUUUUUUGACCAUCAACCACCCUCCAUAUACAAAUCCUCCCUCCAUCAUCCAUUAAUUCCAUCAACUAAAGAAAAUCAACAAAAAAAAAAAUUAGAAAAACAGCAAAACCAAAGCCAUCUGCCCACAACCACCAUACGCGGUUGCCGCUGCCACCAUUCUUCUUCUUUUCCAUUGAUCUCUACCACCAGCUAACACCCACACGCCGCCGACCAUAUCCCAACCGUUAACAUCACCAACUUGCCACCAUAUCCACUAGAAACACACCAAACAGCCACUGAACCACUGAGACCUCCGCCGCUCGAUUCGUCGAAAUCUGUCGUCACUUGAUAGCCACCACCACUACCAACCCAUCCGCCAUCACCAUCCUUUCUUUCCAGCCCAUUCCCGCUGCCAAUCGUUAGCCCGAUCAUUGAAAACCAAAAACAAACUCCAACCGCCACUUUAAAUUAAUUUUUCUAGUCAAAUCAUGACUUGAGUAGAACCACCACCACCAACACACUCGCCACUAUAAAAUCUUCCAGAUCCACCCAUCCUAGUCUAAUUUUUCAAUCACCAUCGCCGAUAACACAAACUUUUGCUUAUUUAUAAUUUUACUCCAUUACUAUUCUCUAAUUACAAUAUUAUUCUAUAGUUUCCUUUUCUUUUAAAAAACCCAAAACCAAAAACCUAAAAAAGGACCCAAUUAAAAAAAACGACGGUUUCUAAAGAAAAUAUUACUUCAUUUGAAGACAAAAUUAUAAGGGGGAUAAAGUGACUUGAACAAUCACAAACCUGUUCAGUCGAUGCAUGGCGAAACAAUGAAAGCCUUACAAUCAACAAACCCAUAUUACGACAACGAAAGAAUCGUUUCUUGGAGUGAGGCAAGAAUUAAAAGAAAUUAAACUUGCCCAAAAAAGUAAUCAGGAAGCAAAGGGUAUAGACAUUGUUGAUUCAAGAAAUAAUUUUAGUGAGCAAAAGAAGACCAACGAAAUAAAGGAAAUAGGUAGCUCUAGUAGGAAUACAAAAGCAAUUCCAUCUUUUUUUAAGUUCAGAUGAUUUAGAUGAAGAAGAACUAGAAGAUGAAUAACGAGAAACAUGUCAGAAUGACUAUCGUAUUAAAAUUGAUCUCCCAUCAUUUAAUGGACAACUAGGCAUUGAAGACUUUCUUGAUUGGUUAUCAGAUGUUGAAUGGUUCUUUGAAACAAUAGACUUUUUAGAAUCAAAGAAGGUCAAGGUAGUAGCAUAUAAACUCAAAGGCGUUGUGUAGUUUGGUGGACAAUCUAUAGACUUCUCGUGUGCUACAAGGGAAAAGAAAUGUCAAAACAUGGAAUCACAUGCAUUACCUACUGGGGAACAAUUUUUGGCUCUUGACUAUGUGGAAACCUUGUUUCGUGAGUAAAAAAAACUGUCGUCAAAGAACCAAAAUGGUCGAAGAAUAUGCUCUCGAAUUUCAAAGGCUUAUAGAACGAAAUAACCUCCACGAGACAGAAGCGCAGAUAGUUGGUCGAUUCCUGGAUGGUUUACGUCUUGAAAUAGAAGAUCAAGAUGGGUUGCAACUAGUACAUACAUUGCAGAACGCAAUUCGACUAGCCAAAAAGGUUGAAAUGCAACUUGAAAAAUAGAAAGCUCGUAGUCAACCACCCCACGCUCAUUUUGGCAGGAACAAGAGCAGAUGUACAAAAUUAAUAAGGAAAAAGCUCAUAUGGAAAACUUUACAAGGCCAAUACAAAAUUGUAAUGGGCAAAACAUACGGCCAACAAAUGACUCACUAAGUUGUAGUAAUCCUUAUACAAUUCCACAAGGCAAUAAAUGUUUUCGUUGAUCAAAACUAGGCCAUACAUCAAAUCAAUACCUAGAACAAAGACGCCAAAAAGUCAAUUUGGCAACUCAUGCAAAGGAAAAUAAAGAGCCUAAGGAUAAACCAUAUGAAGACAAUGACGACAUAGAAGAGGAGGAAGAGUAGACAUAUCCAGAUGCAGGAAUAUCGCUAAUAACACAACAUUUUUUUAUACAUACCAAAGAAAGAAGAAGACACUCAGAGACGUAGCAUCUUUAAAACAAGAUGCAUAGUCAAUGAGAGGGUAUGUGAUCUGAUUAUCAAUAGUGUAGCCAGAAUAUAAAUUCCAAGACCAUGGUUGAUAAGCUACAACUUAAAACUCACAAACAUCCUUCUCCUUAUUGCAUUGGAUGGAUAAAACAUGUUGGAGAGACUAAAGUUAUUGAACAAUGCCACAUUCCUUUUUUCCAUCGGAAGAUACAAUGAUGAAGUAACCUACGAUGUUGUCGACAUAAAUGCUUGCCAUCUACUACUAGGGAGACCCUGGUAGUUUGAUCUUAAUACGAUACAUCAUGGGAAUGAUAACACAUACAAGUUUUAUAAAGACAACAUGAAGAUUAUCCUUACUUCAAUGAAGUCAAAAGUCAAGGGAACCUAUCUUUUAGUACCAAAAGAAGUAGCUGAAACAGAAUCAGUGCCCGAACAAGUCCAAUCACUAUUCUCAGAAUUUCAAGGCAUCAUGCCUAAAGAAUUUCCUAACAAGUUACCUCCUAUAAGGAAUAUUCGACAUCAAAUUGAUCUUUUCCCUAGAUCUAACCUACCCAACUUACAUGUGACUCAAAUUAAAAGACAACUUUUAAUGAUUUAUUCCUACAAGUCUACAGCUUUUAGAAGAGCCAUAUUCAAAAGCAAAAGGAAAUUGAAGUUUUGGUAUUUUCGAGUUUCAAGGAAAGUUGAUGCGAAGUGCUACACGUUUAUAUUGCAAGGUCAAUUACUCCUUCAUUACAAGCUUCAUCCUCUAGAUUGUCUUUUGUUUUUAACAAAAGUCGAGGACGAGUUUUUUUUCGAAAAGGAGGAGACUGAUGUAGGACAAUCCUAGUCAUAGUAGGAGUAUAAAUUUAAUUUCCUUCUUUUUGAGUUUAAUUAGGAUUAAUUUUCUUGUUUAAGUCAUAUUUCUUUUCUUAUAAGGAAUCAUAAUUUUAUUAGAAAUAGGAUAAUUAUAACUAGUAUAAAUAGACUUAUUAUGCUUUGUUUCUAGAUACAAGCUUUUCAUUAAUAAUAUUCAGUAUUUCUCAAUUGAGAUAUUUUCUAUUUUGUGAGAGCCUUCUUUCUUGAGUUUUCAAUAACGUACGCUAGAACAAAAUCUAGUAUCACUUUCGCACUGUGUCACAUAAUAUUCUUUCAAUUAGAACAUUUUUAUAAUAAAUUAAAGCAGUAAUAACAUUUUACUGCUGUACCGUACAUCCGCCUUGGCCGUACAGCAGUUAGAAUCAAAAUUUUUUAAUUUUUAAUUAUGAAAUAAAAUUCGGAUCAAAUAUAUAUUAUUUAUUGGAUGAGCAUUAUACAUUCAUAAAUAUUUUGCUCUAGUGAGAGCUCAAAAAUAUUUAUUUCAUGGAAAGUGGCUGAAAUUUGAUUAUAUCUCAUGUUUUAGGUGUUUGUUAACAAUCACCAAUAUGAAUUUUAUGUUAUUUGUCGUAGAUGCCUCCCGUUAGAAAAUUGUGGACUGAGGAAGAGGGAUUAAUGACAAUUAGAGCUUGGGUUUCACCUAUGGAUCUAAUUGAAAUUAAUGAUGACUUAUCUCAUGAAGAACUUGUGAAGAAAAUGAAAAAUUAUAAGAUGGAUCCUGAUCGUACUGUGUGUAUGAAUAUAGAAGAUAUAUAUGACGUCUUUAUGCACUUAAUGUGUGGAAAAGCGAAUACUAAGUAUACAGACUGGGAUAAUUAUCAACGAAUCCUCAUCAAUUUCUUACUUGAUGAAGAUAAUACGCUUGUCUUUAAGGCUCCCAUGUUAGAGGAGAUCAAGGAUCCCUCGUACGCAUAUUAUAUGCUGAGGUGUGAAAUUGAGCUAAUGGAGGAGCGCCGUCUUGCUUAAAAAAUGAGGUGAACUUCAGUAUUUAGUACUCACAUGAGCCUUCAAAAUGGAAGACAAGCUAGUCGCCUUGGUAGAGGGUAAAAAUUAUGGUAUGAGAAAAUGAUAAACUGAAUCAUCGAGAAAGAAUAAUUAUUUUUAUAUGGACAUUUACAUGAUUAUAAGUUGGAUGAAAGAAUCUCGAGAAACAAAGAAUAUUUUAAGAACAUGUAGAAGAGUCGAGAUAUUAGUUUAACCAUGUUUGGUUAUUUCUUUCAUUUGUUAUGUUUUAUACUUUUAGAUGUUGUUUUUCUCUUAAUUGGUUGAACAAUAUGUUGCUAUGCUUUUAAUUGAAUUUCUACAUUAGUUGUUGCUCUACUUUAUAUAUGUUUUUACGAUAUCUCAUGAAUUAUUCUAUUGAGUGGGAGUUUUGAUCAAAAUUGAAUUUGACGAAUUCAUGAUUAGAACUAAUCAUUUUGCGCAUUAAAAUCGAAUUAAUGAUGAAUAUAAUAAAGGGAAUCAGAUGAUGAUUGGAAGCUUCCACGACCUUUUGAUUUCAUUCUCGAUAUUAAUUUAUCAUUUUUUUAGUUUACGUUUGCGGCAAAAUUAAUAGUUUGUGUGUAAUUAUUAGAUGUCUUUAUUGAUUGUAUUUUGAAUUGUCGUUGUGUUAAAAGAAAACUAAGAUGACAUCUGCAUCUAAAAACAUUGUGGCUGAGUGAAUAAGGGUGAGAAGCUGAAUGAUGACAAUUAUGAUAUUUGGCAUCGUAAUAUUCCAUACAUCCUUAAAGAGCAAAAGACUCUAGAAGCUCUCAACAACACCUUAGUUGAGCCUGAGCAUGGCAAUACUGCUCAACAUAGGAGGGAUCUUGAGGCUUACCAAGCCUAGAAAAAGAAGAAUAGCAAUGCUCGCAUAACGAUGGUGAGCGGCAUGCAAGAUGACCUUAUGUGUGAGUUUGGGAAGUAUGAGACUGCUCAAGAGAUGUGGCUCGCUUUGAAAGAUAAGUUUGGUGGAACUUCGACCACUAAGUUGAGAAGGCUUAGGAUCAAGUUUGACUCUUAUCGGAAGCGCCAGAAUCAUACUAUGAGGCAGCAUCUGAGGGAGAUGUCAAACAUGAUUUCGUGAACUUAAGGUUGUUGGACAUAUUCUGACUGAUGAUCAAUAAGUCCAGGCAGUAAUAAGAUGUCUACUUGAUUCUUGGAAACACAUGAAGGUGAAUAUGACUCACAAUGAAAGUAUCAGAGCUUUUAAUGAUAUAGAACAUCACCUAGAGCUAGAAGCAAAGCGCCUUGAGGCAGUUAAGCUUUCUGAUCGUGUUUAUAUGGCCGAGUCAAGUUCGCGCAAAGCUUUGGACUUCAAGUGCAAAAGAGGUCAUAAGUAUAACUAGAAGGGUGAGAGAUCUGAUCCUAAUUAGAAGAAGCCAGAUUUUAAGAAGCGCCCAAGGAGUAGGCAUGCUGGCAAGAAAAAGAAUAAAUCCAAGAUGAAAUGCUAUGAUUGUAGCAAGCUGGGUCACUUUGCUCGUGAGUGCACUAAGCCAAAAAAUGUGAGACCCAACUCCACUCUAUUAAAUUAUAUAUUAGUUACGUGUUCUGUACUCCCAAUUGAUUCUCAUUCUUUGUGAAUUGUAGACUCAUAAGGAACAGACCAUAUAGCUUAUGAUCGUAAUGCAUUUGUGGAGUAUCGUCGAAUUAGCCAAGGGACUAGAUGGAUAUAUGUGGAAAACAACUCCAGAGUUGAAGUAAAAGGAAUAGGCACUUGCAAAUUGACUUUGCGUAGUGGUCAUAUUCUUUUGAUACACGAUGUCUUUUAUGCACCAAAAAUUCAACAAAACUUGAUUUCCGUUCCUAUUCUUCUUGGAUUAGGAUAUAAUUUAAACUUUCAUGGUGUUUGUUUGGAGAUUUUUCUAAAUUCAGUCUUUAUUAGAAAUGUUAUUUUGAUUUAUGCUUAGACCCUAAGAAACAAGGCCAAUUGGAUUGGUCAAGACAUUACAAGAUAAUUGGAGGCAUGGCUUGAGGAAUUCUUUAUCUUCAUGAAGACUCCCAGCUCAGAAUUAUAUAUCGUGAUCUCAAAGCUAGUAAUAUACUCUUAGAUGCACAAAUAAACCCAAAAAUUUCAGAUUUUGGUCUGGCAAGGAUAUUCGGAGUUGAUCAAACUCAAGGAAACACAAGCAGAAUAGUCAGGACAUAGUAAGUAUUAACUAAUAUUACCCUUUCUACAUAUAUACCCUCUGUUUAUUUAGUUCACAACUUAUUUGUUACCUCAUUUAGUUCAAAAUAUUCAUAAUUUUCUUUAAUUAUAUUGACUUAGUUGCUGGUUUGUAGUGGUUACAUGUCCCCAGAAUACGCUAUGCAUAGGCAAUUCUCUGUGAAAUCAGAUGUGUAUAGUUUUGGUGUCAUAGCUCUGGAGACUAUACUGGCAAGAAAACAGCAGCUUUUAUCAAACAGAUGGUGCUCGAGAUCUUUUAAGCUACGUAAGCAUAAAUAAAAUUAUAUAUUUUGACAUUUCUAAGUGCUUAUAUGAAUCAUAUCAAACACGACUAAACAAGUAAUAGAGUGGCACUAAAAAGGGUAAAGAAUGACAAAACCCUUUUUAUUAUGACUUGAUAUACGAUUUGCAGGCUUGGAAGCAUUAGAGGGAUGGAACACCCUUGCAGUUGUUGGAUUCAAAUCUUACAGAUUCAUACUCAAGAGAUGAAGUGAUUAGAUGCAUCCAUGUGGGCUUAUUAUGCGUCCAGGAAGAUCCAGCUGACAGGCCUUCAAUGGCAACAAUAGUUCUCGUGCUAAACAGUUACUCUGUCACACUUCCAAUGCCCCGAUAGCCUGCAUUGUUCAUUAGUAGUCGAACAGAGAGGAGCUUUCCAGAAAGAGAAUUUGAGUGCUCUGAUAAAUCUACGAGCAAGUCGAUGCCAUGGUCUGUUGAUGAAGCAUCAAUUACUGAAGUAUAUCCUCGUUAACUAGUAAUGACGUAUACGUCUGUCGAAACAGGCAUUUGUUAGUGAAUGAUGAAACUUGAAAUAGAACUUAUCCUUUGAGAAUUACAAACUGUAAGAUGUAUGAUUGAUCAGUUUGAAACCACGAUGCUUCUUCUUUAUGUUAUUGUAUGAUCUAAUUCCAGCAUCUGCAGGGCUAGUACGGUACGUAGAACGUAUGAUUUUUGUUUAAAAACAAAAAAAAAAAAGCUUAAAACAGAUUUAAAUUAAACGUCGGCGUAUGGUUUGUGUUUCGGUGUGUUUGCUUUAUCGAAAUUUUGAGUUGAGGACCAAGAUCAUAUGCUAUACCGGUUCUCUUUUGCACUAAUAAUUUGGUGUUGGCUUGGUAGUACUAGUGCCCUCGGUUUCAUCAUUUAGUGCUAAACUUCGUCUCCCUUCCUUUCUCUAAAGCUCACGGUUCGGGAAAUUAUCUGGUGCUCUCCUCCAACUGGUUGGGUUAAGGCCAAUUCUUACGGCCGGACGACUUUAAUUAGAGCCGGGAAAAUGGGUCAUGGGUCCAGGGGCGGAUCAGAUAUGACCGAUGGAGGGAAAAAAAUAAAUUCUAAAAAUUAAAGAGAAAAUUACUUUGAUUUUUAAUUAGCCACAAUUAAAUCUAUAAUUUCAUAAACCCAUAAAAGUUAAAAAUUUUAAAAGUCUACUCUUUAAUUAAAAAAAAAAAAAAACCACUAUAAACCCACAAUAACUCAUAGGUGAUUUUUGUUAUGAAUUAUUGUAGAAUCCACCAAGUAAAUGGAAGCACCACUUUGUGAUUAAUGGACUCACCACUUUAAAAGUGGAUUCACCAAUUUUGAGUUUUAUAAACAUAUAUUGUUACCCACUCCACUAAGGCACCAACUAUAUAUAUAUAUAUAUAUAUAUAUAUUAUUUAUUUAGUUAAAGGUAAGGGGGGUGGGCAAGCCCAAAUACAAUUUUUACCCCCCUUACCACCCCCAAGAAUCGAAUCCGGGUUUUGGUAGAGGCUACAACUGCACUGCAACCAACCCGACCAUGCCCAUGGGGGCAAGGCACCAACUAUAUAUAUAGUUGUAGUUUGAGCAAAAUGUAGAACUCAAAACUGAGCUUAUCUUUGUCCAUUGAUCUUCUUUGAAAAGCUCUACAAUAUUGUAGUAAUAUAAAUAAAGCUUUGGUACAAAUUUUCUUAUCCAAUUCUAAAGGAUUUGCUUCUAAAUUUACGACACACUAUUUUUUCAAAUUUAUAACAAUUUUACUAUUAUUUAAUUUUGCACCAAUCAAUUAAAAAGGCCUUCAUUAACUUAUAAACCCAUAAAAUUUUAGUUUUCACACUUGUGGAUAUGCAAUUUAGCCCCCAAUAAAUCUUUUUUUGGAUUCAUUAGUGACUGGCUCAUGUUCAUGUCGUGUUCAGCUGCAUAUCGUAUCAAAUUUUGGCUAAUCCAACACGAUCCAUUUAAUAAUUAGGUAAUCAUGCCACCUAAUAAGAUACAAUCCAAUAACCCACUUAAUACCUAGAUAUUUAACAAAUUUUCGUGUGGAUAUGCACUUUCGUGGUUUUGUAGAAUAUUUUAUAAUGUUGUAAAACUUUUUUGCGAGAUCACGCAAGUGCCUAUCCACAUGAAAUUUCUUGCGGACAUCCGCAUCUAAGAAGCUAUAUAUGCUUGUGGGCGAGCGUGUGCUAAAUAAUACAAUAUAUUAAUAGUAGAAAACACAAUAAUGAUAGAACCACACAAACAGUUUUGCACAAACCGAUGUGAUAUGAAGAGAUUGACUGAAAAAUUAUAACAAUUACUUUUUUCAAGAGAUUGCCUAAAACAUUAUAACAAUUACUUUUUUCAGUUUUGUGGACUGAUGAUGGUUUUAUGUAACCAAUCUCAUAUAUGUCUACCAAAUUAUUAUACAUUUACAUGUUCAUCCUUAAAAACAUUAAGAGAGAGAGAGAGAGAGAGAGAAUUUUUGUUUUAAUUGGUGGCAAUGUGAGUUUUUAUCUAUUAGUUGUAAAUUUUUUUUCAAUCAGCAUCAAUUUAGAAUUUUAUCAAGGUAAUAACGUUAAGUUUGGGUUUUUUAAAUUUUAUUUAGCAUAAUUAAAAAUGUGUUCUUAUGAUUUUUGUAGACCAUCAAAAAGAUAAUAUUUUAAUGGACUGUGUUAAAGGUUUUCGGUUGACACAAUACAAUUAUCAUUUUUAUAAUCAUAUUAUUGAGAACUUGAAUCCUAACUCCACAUGAAAAAAAAAACCGUGUUGACUCGGACUCAGUCUAUUUAAUAAUCGCGUGUGAUUUUUGUUAUGAAUUAUUGUAGAAUCCACCAAGUAAAUGGAAGCACCACUUUGUGAUUAAUGGACUCACCACUUUAAAAGUGGAUUCACCAAUUUUGAGUUUUAUAAACAUAUAUUGUUACCCACUCCACUAAGGCACCAACUAUAUAUAUAUAUAUAUAUAUAUAUAUUAUUUAUUUAGUUAAAGGUAAGGGGGGUGGGCAAGCCCAAAUACAAUUUUUACCCCCCUUACCACCCCCAAGAAUCGAAUCCGGGUUUUGGUAGAGGCUACAACUGCACUGCAACCAACCCGACCAUGCCCAUGGGGGCAAGGCACCAACUAUAUAUAUAGUUGUAGUUUGAGCAAAAUGUAGAACUCAAAACUGAGCUUAUCUUUGUCCAUUGAUCUUCUUUGAAAAGCUCUACAAUAUUGUAGUAAUAUAAAUAAAGCUUUGGUACAAAUUUUCUUAUCCAAUUCUAAAGGAUUUGCUUCUAAAUUUACGACACACUAUUUUUUCAAAUUUAUAACAAUUUUACUAUUAUUUAAUUUUGCACCAAUCAAUUAAAAAGGCCUUCAUUAACUUAUAAACCCAUAAAAUUUUAGUUUUCACACUUGUGGAUAUGCAAUUUAGCCCCCAAUAAAUCUUUUUUUGGAUUCAUUAGUGACUGGCUCAUGUUCAUGUCGUGUUCAGCUGCAUAUCGUAUCAAAUUUUGGCUAAUCCAACACGAUCCAUUUAAUAAUUAGGUAAUCAUGCCACCUAAUAAGAUACAAUCCAAUAACCCACUUAAUACCUAGAUAUUUAACAAAUUUUCGUGUGGAUAUGCACUUUCGUGGUUUUGUAGAAUAUUUUAUAAUGUUGUAAAACUUUUUUGCGAGAUCACGCAAGUGCCUAUCCACAUGAAAUUUCUUGCGGACAUCCGCAUCUAAGAAGCUAUAUAUGCUUGUGGGCGAGCGUGUGCUAAAUAAUACAAUAUAUUAAUAGUAGAAAACACAAUAAUGAUAGAACCACACAAACAGUUUUGCACAAACCGAUGUGAUAUGAAGAGAUUGACUGAAAAAUUAUAACAAUUACUUUUUUCAAGAGAUUGCCUAAAACAUUAUAACAAUUACUUUUUUCAGUUUUGUGGACUGAUGAUGGUUUUAUGUAACCAAUCUCAUAUAUGUCUACCAAAUUAUUAUACAUUUACAUGUUCAUCCUUAAAAACAUUAAGAGAGAGAGAGAGAGAGAGAGAAUUUUUGUUUUAAUUGGUGGCAAUGUGAGUUUUUAUCUAUUAGUUGUAAAUUUUUUUUCAAUCAGCAUCAAUUUAGAAUUUUAUCAAGGUAAUAACGUUAAGUUUGGGUUUUUUAAAUUUUAUUUAGCAUAAUUAAAAAUGUGUUCUUAUGAUUUUUGUAGACCAUCAAAAAGAUAAUAUUUUAAUGGACUGUGUUAAAGGUUUUCGGUUGACACAAUACAAUUAUCAUUUUUAUAAUCAUAUUAUUGAGAACUUGAAUCCUAACUCCACAUGAAAAAAAAAACCGUGUUGACUCGGACUCAGUCUAUUUAAUAAUCGCGUCAAAUUUAACGUCUCAAACUCUUUUAUUCGAAUCAUGUUUGCACCGGAUAAAUGAGUCGUGUCAAAUUUUGCUAGCUCUACCUUUAGCACUAGAUGAAUUAGGUAGUUGGCUAAGGCCUGAAAUUUUAAAAAGCUCUCAAGUUUUGAGCAUUUAUUUAUUAAUACACUAAUUAAUAAUCAUUAUUCUUUACGAUUUCAUAGAUUUGUUUAAGUUAUGUUUAUAGGAAAUCCUAAUUUUAGGCAUCUCCCUAUUAUUAUUCUCAUUCAUAAUUAUCUAAAAGAUUUUUUUAAUAAAAUUUUAUAUUUGAUAAUCUUCACAGUAUAAUUAAUGAUUUUAACUAUUAAUUUCUUAUUUUCUUAAUCCUUUCAAGGAAAAAUUUUAAAUGCUUUCACUUUCUAGAGAAAAAAAUUAUUCUAUUAAAAUUAUUUGCUUUAGAAUCUAAUGAAAACCUAAUAAUCAAUAUAUAUUGAAUCAACAAUAAUCUCAGUUAAAAAAUUUCUUGCUCGUUCAACAAUAAUCUCAGUUAAAAAGUUUCUUGCUCCUUUCUCUAGAAAGAAAAUUAUUCUCUAUGAAAUCUAAUUCCAUCAUCUAAUCAUCAUAUUCAUCUUGACUAGUCAAUUUUUCUGGUGUUAUCAUUCCAGUUAUACAAUUUUAUAUUAUUGUUUAUUUUUACGAGUUUUUUUUUUUUGUAUUAACGUAGAGCUUGAAUAUAUUUUGAACUAUUUUAUAUUUCUUUGACAGUUGAUGUUAUUGACUGUAUGAAGGCAAAAAAAAUAUUCGCUUAAGAUCAUGAACCCUUGGAGCUAGCCCUGUCUGAUGGUAUAACUAAGAGUAACCCCUAAUUUGUUAGCUUGUUCUGGGAUUUUAGGCGGGCAUGAUGGUGGUUUCUAUUGGGUUGAUUUGCUGCUUUAUUUAGUGAUGUGACUAGAGAUGGCUAAUAAAUCUGGAUCUAACCCACAUUCGCAAACAUCUGUUGGAAAAAUCUUUAUUCAAAUAAUAAAUAAUCCGCAUCCAGAUGUAAAAAUUUAGGACCCCUAUGAAUCCGAAUGCACUUUUAUUAGACAACCGAAUAUUCGGAUCUGCAUAUUUUUUAAAAUAAAUUAAAUAAAAAAAUAAAAUUUAUAUAAGAAAACACAAACUCUAAGCUAAAAACACAUUACAUAUAAAUAUUGCAAUACACCCAAGUAGCCAUAAAUAUUAUUUUAGAUUUGUGUUAGUAUUGGAUGAUUAUUUUUUGUUUUUUAAAUAGUUAAAAUUAGUAAAUUUACAUAUAAAUUUUUUUAAUGCGUGCUUUUGGAUAUCGGUAAUUAGGGGUGGGCAAAUACAGGUUUGGAUCAAGUUCGGAUCAAUCCGAUCGGAUUUCGAGUUAAUCGAGCUAGGAAAAAUGUAACCCGAAUUCAAUCCGAACAUAUAAUCCAACCUGACCUCAUCUUAUUCGAAUAGAUCGGUAAUUUGUGUUUGUUUGUGCUUUUAUUUCUUCAUAUUUUCGGAUUGAAUCAAGUUUGACCCAAUUCGAUCACGAUCUGAUUCGAUCCGAUCAAGUUUGCCAAAAUCCAACUAGAUUGGGUUAGGCUCUUCAUCCGAAUAUGAUCCAAACCUGAAUUUUUCGGGUUAGAUCAGGUUAAAUUGGUUCGCGUUGGGUCAUUUGCCCACCCCUGCUUAUAAUAUUCUCCUAGAAUCUGCACGAACAUUACCCACGUCUGAAUCUGCAAUAAAUAAUAUGGUUUCAAAUGCAUAUCCGAAUUCAGUUUUUGCUAUCCUUAGAUGUGGCAGUGUUUAAGGUAGAAAUUAUGGUUGUGAUUUAUGUUAUUAGAGGCUUUUGCCAUUCUUUGUGGAUUAAGUGUAAUUCUUCAUCCCAUUACAUUUAUUGAAAAAUAGGGUUAAAAUAGAAAAUGAGAAGGAGAAGAAAAAGGUGCAACGCCUAUUGUCAUCGCUCUGUACUAUUAGGUUAUAUUUCUAUUACUUUUUAUUAACAAGUUGGCUUAAUUUAUUAAAUAAUGUUCAUACUAGGAAUGGCAAAAUCCAAAUGCGGAUCUAGGUUUGGCCUUCCUGGUUCCGGAACCGGAUACCAAUUUUAUUUUACCGGACCUGGAUAUAAACCUGAUUUUUUCGACUCUGGGUCAAGUACGGGUUCGACCCGGAAAUUACAGGGUUUCCAGAUUUUGGGUUUUGAACCCGGAUUUGAUUUCAACGGUGGAAAACAGUCAUCUUCGAUUAUUUCUUCCAUCUUUUAAUUUCUAACUGCAAACAGAUGAACACACAACAACAAUAGACAUAUGAAUACUCACACCCAAAUCUGUCUCCCUAAGCUCCACCUGUAAGUUGUCACAAGGAUAAACUUUUGGUGUGAAAGGAAUCUUUGGGCCUUAUCAUUCCACACAGCCAAAGCUCCUAAUGAUGCCAAAAUAAUAAUAAUAAUAAUAAAUAAUCCUCCAAAGCAUCUAACCUAACGUUUCCUCCCAUGAUCUGCGUUCAACUUCAACCCGUAUCACCGUUGUUGCUAAUCGCGACAGAGAAGACUAGAGAGGCAGCUUGAUGACGAUGAUGAUAAUGAACACAACUGCGAAGGACAAGGUGGCGAAGCGAUGAGAGUGACGAUGAUGAAGAUUUGAUGAAGGGAAGGAAGCAUGCGAUGUGGCUGUGAAUUGCAAUUUGCAAAUUAUCGCACAUGAUUUUUCUUUUUUUUUUAACUUUUCUUUUUAUAUUAAAAAUAGUUUUAAAACUUAAAAUAAAAAUAAAGAUAUACGGGUCCUGGUUUCAGAUCUCCGGGUUUAAAUAAAACCGGAUCCAAACCUGGAUAUGUCUAGGUUCAUAGAAUUACAUCCGGAUUCCAGAUAAAAUUAAAUCCAAUACAAGUUGAACUUAGACCAGAUUAUGCGGGUUCGUCCAGGUCCACGCCGAGUCAGAAAAAUAUUGACAUCCCUAGUUCAUACAAUGACAAAUUAGGAAUAUUUGUACAAAUGAAAGUAUAGGUAGGAUAAGAUGGGUUCCAACAAGCAAUUCUAAUUUGACAUUGAGCAAUCUAGUUCAUUUGACACCACCAUAAAAAAGAAUUAGAUAACACAUAUAAUUAGUCACACGUUGACACUAACUCAUAUGAUCAUAUCAUAUCAUGCACAAAGUGCAGUUCAUCUACUUCACCAAGGAUAUUAUUGUAUUUAAGGAGAGGAUGUGAAUAUAAUAGAUGGCUAUGUGAAUAUUGUAAGAAUUUCUCAAAAGAUCUUGUACUUUUUAAAUUUGUUAAAAUACCUCAUAUGAAUUUUAAAACUAUGAAAAUGCCCUAUAAAAUUUUUGAAAGUUCUGAUUUCCUUGCUCCAAAAAUCCUAGUGCUUUGCAAUUUGAUAUGUUAUUUUGAUUUUAUAAAAAAUGGAUUACUCAUAAUGAUAAUUAAUAACUCACAAUAAAUAAACUAAAAGGAGAGAUUUUCUUCUUUUUAUUUUUUAGUGUUUUUUUAUUUUUUUUAAGAAAAGAUUGGGAGUGGGUAAAGACUAAAUUAAUUUUUUUUUUAAUGUUUGCCUUCAAAUUCAGGCAAUCAAUAAAAUAAAACUACAAGAAAACAAGUCCUGGGGGCCUAUUUUUAGUGCUUCUUCUUCAAAAACAAAUAGCUAAUAAAUCAUGCAUCAUUUUGAAAACAUGAAAUCAGCUAUAACAAUUGUAGUUAGUAGAAAUAUUAUAGACAAAUAUUAUAGUUGUAGUUUUAUUUAUUAAUUCUAAAUCUUGAAAAUUGUAUCAAAUUUUAUGGUUAUGUCCCUGAUUGUGAUUAUCUUACAACUUAUGCUACAGUCUUUAAUUUUAUAUUCUAGGACCUUCAUGAAUUAGAAGACAUAACAAUCUUCGGAUACCUCGAUGUGUCAGAAAAGAAUACAUUUACAACGUAAGAUAUAUAUGAUCAACAUGAUCUUCCGUUCAGUAAAGCAGGUUACCGGCACUUUAAACUUACAAAACUAUCAGCAUUUCCUACUGCUGCUUGGCUCAUUGUGUUAAUCGUUUUGCUUAUUUUCAGAUCAAAUGAUUUUAUGUUCUAGGGACACUACUAUGGGAAAUUUUCUUAUAUAGCCAUUUUCAAAAACCUGUUAUCAAAAAUAGCCAUAGAACAAAAUGUCUUAAAAUAAUAACCACACACACUUAUUACGGACUAAAUUACCCCCCAAAGACUAUUGUCGAUCACCUAUAUCCCGUCAUCGCCCGGCAUCGCCCAUCAUCGCCCGUCAUCUCAUAAAUUUCUUUUCACAUCCCCAUCAUCACAAUCUUACCAUCAUAACCCCUAUUAUCACAGCCUCCAUCAACAAAAGGUUUUGCAUUGUCAACGACAUGAGGAUUCAACCUAAAGGUACAACUCUCUUGCACUUUUACAACAAUUUUUAAUUGAUUAGUGGAUUAUUAUUGAUAGAAAAGCACACUAGUUUAUGUAUUGGCAUGAACAAUUCAAAAAAAAUUUAAGAUUAAUGUUUGCAAAAUAUAAGCACAUUAGGUGUCGUUAAAAUGUCUCUAAGAAAUUUUUUUCAAUUAUCCUAAUAAAUUUACUCAGCUAGUUCUUAGUAAUCCACUCUUUAAUACCAAAGAUACUUACUAAUAUGAAGUUUACGCUUAUUUCAUAAACUUUUUUCUUUCUUUUUUUAGUAUAUAUUGGUUGUUGGCACUCAUCGCCUGCAACAUUUGCGGGUGAUUGCGAACGAUGGCGCCCAUCGCCCGCCCAGGUGCAGCAUUGCCUGCACUUCCCUGCACUAACCCAAAUGAAUUUUUUUGUUUAAAUAAUAAUCCAAUAUCUGUCGUGUUUAACUUUCAGAUGUGUCCUACAAUAAAUGCCGCCUUGGACUUUAAAGAUACCAAUUGAAGAUUACUUCCAAGUAGUCUAACAAAUUUAAAGAAAAUGAAGAGAGUGAUUAGCCUUAUGCAAAUAAAAUUAACUGAAAAACAACAAAAGUUGUUCAGGAAAUCAAUAUUUGGGCAUUUUAGUAGUAUGAAUGAAAUUAGAUUUAGUGGCAUACUCGUGCAUAAUUUGUUGCUUAGACAAGUAGUAAAGAAGUUGAUAAAUAUUAAAUGUGGUUUCAUGUUGGCGAUGAGUUGUUGCUUAGGCAAGCAAUACAUUGAAAACAUGUAUUUUACUGGCAAUAUCUUUUCUAUGAUCAUAUAUUUUUGUGCCCUUGUUGUAAAGCGAGUUGUCAUCGACUUGGCCGCUUUAUUUCUAUCAUAAAACCAUUGUUACAUUGUAAAUCUAAAGUGUUCAACCAACUAAGUAAUAGGAAAUUUUCUUGGUUCCUUCAUUAAAGCAUUCAUGCUCUCUGCAAUGUUUGUGGUCAGAAUGCUUUACCUUCAACCUUUAAAAAAAGAUCAAGCCCAAUAAUUAAAGCGUAUGUCCUCCAAAUACUUUGUUGCACUUGCAUGCAUACUCCACAACCCCUCCAUUUGCUUUUAAAACUCUACUGGAUCAUAUAUUUUCACUGCUUGUAUAAAGGUUAGUCUAAAAGAAUACUUCCGUAGUUUUCUAAGAUUCUUGAAAUGUGACUUUAGAUUACUUUCCAAAUGAUAUAAACAAAGGCCGUAUAGUACAGUAGGAAAUACCUUAUAAACUGCUCUACGGAUAGAUAUGCAACGAUUGGAUAUAAAUACCAACUCUUGCAUGUCUCCAAUGACUUCAUGCAACCUCAUGAUAAACCAUUCCCAAGAGGCAUUAUAUUCUAAAUCUACAAUUCCAAUAACUAUAGGAUACAUUUGGUUAUUCUCAUCUAAGCAUGCUGCAAUCAACAAGUUUCCUCCAUAUUUACCUUUUAAAUGAGACUCGUCCACUGUGAUCACUCGCCUGAUUGACAGCAUAAAACCUUUAAUGCAAGAUCCAAGAGCAAGCAAGCUGAAUUAUUGUAUUGUUGUUUAGCUCUUGCAAGACAUGAGAAUAUUUGGGAAAUAACUUAUAUAACUCUCCUGAGUCUCUCCGUUUCAACUUCAAAGCUUUUUCCUUACUCCGCUAUGCUUGCUAGUAUGAUAAAUUAAUUUCAUAAUCAUUAUUCAUAUCCGAAAUGAUAUCCUUUUGAGUGUAUAUUCACUUGACAUCAACAAAAUUUUGCUUGAUAAUUUCGCUGACAACCCGAGGCGAUGACCAUAAUGGAAAAUAUCAUUUUGACAAGUAUGCACCCCUAUUGCUCAAAGUCUUCAUUUACAUGUCUUCAUAACACAACAAGCCUCCCAAUAGAUGUUUGGGGACCUAUCCACCUUAAACUCAAACUUAUCUGUACUAGCAAAAAUGCUAAGCUCCGUGUAUAAUUGUUCCUUCAUACUAAAUAGCUGCCUAACAUAAAUACCACUUGAACUACAAUUUCUAGUGUAAGUGUAUCCGAAACUGCCCAAUUUGAUGGCAUAACUGAAACCUCUAAUUGUAAUAGGUCAACUAUAGUUGAUAUUUGAGCCGAAUUCGGCUAUGUGACCUAGGGGUAAUAGGCUGAUUUUGACGUGGAUCAUUAUCUUCCUGAAACUGAGGCAUUGCUUCCAUAUCAUCUAAUAGAUGAUCGCAAUCUACGUCAUCACAGUCACGGAAUGGAGAGUAGCUUUUCGUAGUUGGAAACAUUUGUUCUUCAGUAUCGGAGAAGAAGUAAUUACCAUAGUUUGACAUGGAUCCAUAGACAAAUGUGCACUUAAAGGCUGAAGAUUGGGUUGACGGCAUCAAAGGAGUUGAUUUUUGUUGAGAAGGUAUUAAAGGAGCUUUGAUUGUAACUUUAGGCGAUGUAGUUACAAAAAUAGGAGUCCUACUAUAGUUUAUUCUAUCAGAGUUCAUAUGUAUAAUAACGUUUACCAUUUUAUCAUCUAGUAUGUCCAUUGGUAAAGAAGCAAUGGAUUGCAUAGGACAAUUUGUGCCCCAAACUGUUUUCACUAUUAUAGAAUAUUCGUCUAAACUUAAAUUUAGCACUUGAUAAAUCAUAGCAAUAAAUUGUUCGAAAGUUGGAUCAUUUUGAAGAAAAAAUGCUUUAACUUUUCCAUUCUCGUAUUCCAUAUGACCAUUAACAAACGUUUCCCAUAAUCCAUCUUAAGCACAAUUGUUGAUUCCAUUAAACACGAAGCAAAUUAAAAUAAAUAUAAUUAUAUUACUAAAACAAUAAAUUUAUUUCUAUAAUAAUAUCAUUGACAAUAAACAAUUGACAUUAAAAAUACAACUACAUAAGGUGCCCCACAUUUAGACAAUGGAUGCCAUCGUCUAAUUGAUGGAGAUCAUCGGAUUCUAUUGCCUGGGAGAAGUGUGGGGCAAUGGCUACCAAGUGAGAAGUGCGAGCGAAGGCAUUCAUCGCCCGGGUGACGACUAGUAUUGCCCGCGAGAAGUGCAGGUGAAGGGUGCCAUCGCCCGGGCGAUGCAGGCCUUUACUCGCACUUUUCGCGGAUGAUAUCAGUGAGAAAUGUGGGCGAAUGAUGCCAUCACUUGGGUGAUGCAUGCCUAUGCCAACACUUCUCGCUAGCGAUAUGAGCCAUCGCCCGGCCGAUGAAUGCCUUCACCCGCGAUCUAGGUUUCCCCUACAAUCAUAUAAACACAUAAUUUACCAGACUUUUCCUAAUUUUUGGAUUCAUACAAGCAAAUAUCUAUCCACAUUGUAAUAAAAAUUAAUAAAGAUAUUUGUUUCUACAAAUAUCUACAAAACCCAUAUAUAAAACAUAAUUAAUCUUGCAAUAUAAAUUUCAAAAAACAUUAUCCUUAAUUCCUUCUUGAGCUUUUUUUUUCCUUUUUUGUUUUGAUGGAUUUUGUCUUUAAAAUACUAGUUAUGCAACCUAAGAGGGGGGUGAAUUGGAUUUUUAAAAAAUUUAAACUAAGCAAACCACACAAUAAUUUAAUCUAAUGCCUCAAUGAAAUAAAAAAUAAUAAAUUUAACAAUGUUAAAAAAUGAAAGAGUAAGAGAAGAGAAAGCAAACACAAAGAUUUUUACAUGGUUCGGCAAUUCCCGCUUACAUCCAUGCCUCCAAGCAAACCAAGCUUGAGGAUUUCACUAUCCAAGCCUCCCAAGGCUUCAAAUGCGUACAAUUGACUACCAAGAUGUCAAUGGACCUUUACAACAAGAUAUUAUCCCCAAUCUCUUCACUCAAAGUAUUUCCCACACUUACACACUCACAAAUUUUACAAUGAAUUCAAAAAAUACAAUAAAUACUCUCUUUUAGAGUGAUAUACAAACAAUAGCUCAAUGAAGAUUUAAUCUAUGAUGAUUUGCGAAUUGGAAGCUCAAAAUAUGUUGUUUACACUUGCAAAAGUAUUUAAAAAUGAAUUGAAUUUGUGUUUAUAUAGUUUAGACACAAAAACUAGUCGUUAUGGACAAAAUCCCAAGUAGUCGUUAUAAAUUUUGGUUUUGAAAAUUUGAAAAUUUGAAUAUUUACCUCAGGCAGCUAGCCUCUAACUCUCUGUCUUCCCACCAUAUUUUUUAUAUUUACUUUUUGGCCCAAAACUUUCAAAAAUUAAAAUAUGGUCUAAAACUUUUAUAAAUUACACUAUAGCCUAAAUGUUUUAUAUUUUUACAAAUAAAUCCAAAUUCAGAAUUUCUAAAUCAUGCUCGUUAUUUCCUAAACUUUUUGAAAUAUUGUUAUGGCCCAAAACUUUAUAAUACUUCUCAAAAAAGUUCUUUUCAUAAUGCUUAUUGAUUUCAAAACUUUUUCAAUUUAAUUCAAUAUUUGAAAAACACUCAAAUCCACAAAAUACUUUAUCUUAUAAAUAUGAGACAUUUUGCUUUAUGAAAAGUAAUGAUCUAUUAAACAAAAUUUGAGUUUCUCAAAUGCUAAACCAUGCGUGUAUUAAAUCACACCACAUUUACAAGAAUUUGUCGCAGUAAUGAUUUUGUUGAGGUAAACUUUGUUCUUGAUCAAGCCGUUGUCUAUUGAGUGUCUUGAGCUUGAUUUCAGUUGAUUCACUUACAUAAAUAUCAUCCUUCAAGAAGUAGUGAAUAUGUGAAAUACAAUAUUUAUCAUAUCACUUAAGACACAUGUUUGUUAUCAUCAAAAUUAUAAUAUGUGUAGCCCUUUAGGCUAACAGUCUUCAAUGUUAGUUAACAAUUAUUGUCUGAUGCAUAUGAAAUCGAAGUAGUUUAGUGUUUAGUUGUUGGAGGGAGUUUGAGAAGUCAAAUGAGAGGAGUUUUAUGGAGUUUGUGUUUAGCUGUUGAGGUCAAAUGGUUUGUAUUUAGUUGUUGGCAUGAAAUGAGAGAGGAGCUUUGGGGAGGGGUAAUUUAGUUCAUAAAAAGUGUGAGUGAUUAUUAUUUUAAGAACUUUUGUUCUAUAGCUAGUUUUGAUAAUGAAUUUUUGAAAGUGGCUAUAUAAGAAAAUUUCCCCACUACUAAUGGCUCUUUGUUAAAUAAAUUCCUGGUUUUUACAAUAUUAAUCCACAUGCAUGUGCGUACACUAAAUAAUUAACCAAAAUGGAUUGAAAACUAAAGAUGGUGAAUUGAAAACUAAAGCACAGAGGACAACGAUCAAAAUAAGAGAGUUGAAACGACCCAUUAAUGUAGGUUCAUGUGGAACAAGUUUAGAUAUAUACUAUAAUUUUGAGGAUGAGUUUAAGUUAGAAAAUUGGUGCAUGUAUAUAUAUGUGUGUGUGUGCGCUUUCAUAAAGGAGAGGCGUGAGGCUAAAGUGCUAAGUUUAAUUAGCUAGUAGCUCAAGUCAGCAAUUUUAAAAUUUUGAAAAGUUAUAAUUUGGGUUAGGUACUUAUGCACUACGUAGCCGGCGGCCCAUAAUGUAGCUAGUAAGAACUGGAUUAAUUUCAUUCAUGCUUGCUUGAUAAUUAAUUCUCCUAUUGCUGGCGGCAAAUUCCUAGAAUUUUGCAUGUAUAUUCAACAGUUAAAACUCAUUUUUUUUCUCUGUUCAUUGAUUCAAUUGAUAAGAUCUUUUGGAUUUGUUCGAAUAUUGCAUGAUGUAAGACAUUGUGUAGCUAGUGCUGACUUUGAUAUGGUUGUAUAUUUUUUUGGGCUGGAGAUACGUUAGAUUUGUGAGUAUAAUAUAUUGUUUUGAAAACCGCAAUGAAAGAUUAAAAAAGGGCCUCCAAGAUGUCCGUCGAAGUCUUACCAAAUUCUGCUAUUUCGAACUUCUAAAUUUCAUUUGGAGUAUUUUUAUAACCAUUUUCAAAACUUAGCGAGUACCGUAAUAAACUUAUCAUAAAGGUUAAAAAUAUAGUAGGGAAAACAUUACUAUCGUCAUCACUCAUUUUAAUUUUCUUCAAUUGGAAAAAGUAUGUGUAAGAAUUUUGUAUACUACGUGGCAUUACGUAAUUCAAUUAGAUAGGAUUCGUAGAUGUGAAGAGUUGGAUUAGGUUCUUUCUUGUAAUGAUGAUUAUGAUAGAUCGGCACAUAAUACUUGACGGUAGAAAAUUUUGCAGCACGUAACCACUUCAUUAAGAAUUAGUCGUUGUUAUUUAACCAAGACUCUAAUCCCACUCAAUGACUUAUGUGGUUGAUUUACUUUCAAAAAUUUUAAAAUAUAACAAAUAUAAGUUUAGAUUCCUGUUUGAUAAAAGAUAAAAUAAAAUAAAAUUCAAUUAAUAUCCAACACAACACAUGAUAAAAAAAUAAUUACAAAAAAAUGAUUAGCGACAUAUCAGUUACAACGGCACACACUAUGUAACUACAAAAAGUGAGUAGUAGUUCUGAAAAUUUCAACGACAUAUCAGUUACAACGGCGCACACUAUGUAACUACAGAAAGAGAAAAUUUUAAUUUUUAGGGCCCAGCCUUAGAAAUAUUUGCGCACCUGCUUAAAACAUAAUAAAAAACAGUAAAGAAUCAAAACGAACAUUCACUAUUCUGGAAGUUGGAGUUUGUCAAUGAAAUUUUUAGAUAAUAUAAUAAUAUACAAAUAGAUUGCCAUGACUCAGUAUUUCAAAAACAAUGUGUUGACGUAAGCAAAUGAAGAAGAAAAUGUACUGAGAUGACAAGUUUCCUCAGUUUUUACAGAGUCACAGAUGAACAAUUGAAGACUGGGCAAGCCUUCAUCGAUCUGCUCCGAGCAGGGAAAACAAGACCUGUUCAAUAAAUCCUCAUCUAUAAAUAGGGUUGCUAACCUUGCAACAUUUCUCACCCCACACUAAACCAAUAAUAAUAAGUUCAGAGAUUAGACAGAGUGAGAUCCCAAAGCUAGCUAGCUAGUUAAACACAAUGAGAAGUGUUCAAUUUCUUACUGGUUUUGCUCUCUUGAUUUUGGCUUCUUCAUUGGCCUCUGCCUUUGACCCUAGUCCUCUUCAGGAUAUCUGUGUAGCCAUUGAUGAGCCCAAGAACGCAGGUAUAUUUUUUACACUUUAAUUUUCUCUGUCCUAAAAAAUCUUUUAAACUUGUUUAUGUAUACGUGUACGUUGGUCUCAAAUUCACCUUACUAAUUAAUAUUCUGAAUUCUUGGACGCAGUCUUUGUCAACGGGAAGUUCUGCAAGGACCCCAAGCUUGCCAGGCCAGGAGAUUUCUUCUUAUCAGGGCUAGACAAGCCUGGAAACACAGCAAACCGACUUGGUUUCAGUGUAAAAAAUGCAAAUGUUGAGCAAAUUCCGGGACUCAACACUCUCGGAAUAUCAGCAGUCCGUAUAGACUAUGCACCCUAUGGCCAAAACCCUCCUCACACUCACCCUCGUGCCACUGAAAUCCUGACGGUCUUGGAAGGAACACUUUAUGUCGGUUUUGUGACAUCUAACCAGCUAAACAACACACUCAUUGCAAAAGUUCUGAAAAAGGGAGAUGUUUUCGUGUUUCCAAUUGGUUUGAUUCACUUCCAGUUCAACAUUGGAAAAACAAAUGCAGUUGCCAUCGCUGCUCUAAGCAGCCAGAAUCCUGGUGUCAUUACCAUUGCAAACUCGGUCUUCGGAGCCAAUCCUCCGAUCAAUCCUGAUUUUCUUGCCAAGGCAUUCCAGCUGGACGUAGAUGUGGUGAAAGAUCUUGAGGCUAAGUUCUAAAUGUGUAGCUUAUUUGAAUAAUCAUGCCAUUUAUAUAUGUUUCUCGUUCUAAUUAUUGUCAUUAUCAGUUAGUUUUGAUGUAAUAAAGAGAUUCGUACAUGUGUACCUGUCUCAAGUCAGCUUUGUUUGAUUUCCUAAUUAACCCGUAAUUAAAUAAUGUAUUUUUCGUUCAUUGUGAUCAAUGAUCUCUUAUCUGAUCUCGGAUUAUUAUUAUUAUUAUCAUUAUUUUUGAACACGGUGAUUGGUGAACAUGUAGACUGAUAUAAAGAUUCACGUCUAGCAACUAGCAGAUGUGUUCGCACUUGCAAUCAAGGAUUCAACAAGUUGAGAUGCAUUCAAGAGCAUGUCAUCCUUGCACAUCUUAGAAAUCACAGUUCUCCAUAUAUCAAAAUCAAUAACGUUCCCCUUAAUCAGGGUAUUCAAAACUGUCCACAGAACCUCCACAUUCCCUAUCUCACACAGCUGACCAACAAAUGAAUGUAUACGAGCAGAACGAGGUACAAACCCUUAAAAAUCAUCUCAUCCAAAAUUAAAGCAGCUUCCCCGAACUGCAUCCCAUCGCAUAGCCCAUCAAAAAGUAUCCUAUAGGACACAAGAUCCGGAUUGCAGGCCUGUCUAGGCAUAUCCUCAAACAAGUCUUUUGCUUCAUUGCAUUUUCCGUCCUUACAAAGCCCCCCAAGUAUUACAUUAUAACUAAUUGGAUUUGCCUUACACCCUUUAUGCCCCAUUUCAUCCAAAAUUGUAAACGCUGCUUCAAAAUCCUUCUCUUUACAAAACCCACUGAUCAAUGCAUUAUAUGUCACAGAAUUCGGUUUGCACCCACGCUCCUUCAUUUCUUUUAAAAUCCCAGGAACUUCAUUCUUCCUUCCCGCCUUAAAAAGCGCAUUGAUCAAUGUAGAAUAAAUACCCGUAUCCAAUUCAAUCUUAUUUCUCACUAUCUCUUCUUUAAAUCCAAGUGCCAAACUCAACUCACCAACCGCACAAAGCCCUUUUAUCAAUGACGCAAAGACUUGUCAAUCAGGCUUCACAUUAUACACUCUCAUCAUAUCCUCCUUCAACUUUAAUGCCUCAUCUACCCUCAACUCCAAACAAAGACCAUAAAGUAACGUCCCAAAAGUCACCACCGUUGGCUGCAGUCUUUUUUUAAGCAUUUCAUCAAACACCAUCCACGCGUCCUCUAACCUCCGACUUACAACACAACCGUGUAUCAAUAUAUUAUAACUACAAGCAUCUGGGCUAACAUAUUUCUCCAUAAGUUGAAACAACUCCUUCAUUCUAUCAAGCUUUCCGCACGUUAAUAGUGCAUUCAACAACGUGUUGAAAGAUUUGACCGUCCUUUGAACAUUAAAACUCAACAUUUCAUCAAACACUUGGAGUGCGUGUUAGACCACCUGGUAUUAUAUUUUUUAAUAAGAUCGUUAGCUGAAACUUGAUGAUCAAGUUAAAUAUUAUCAAAACGGGUUGACUGACAUAGGUCCAUUCUUCACUUAUCUGGUUAUCUUUGAAGACUUAAUUUUCUAUACAAAGGAUUUGUUGCAAUUGUACAUGUAUCAACUUGUUUUCUUGCCUUAUUGUUUUGUAUUAAUUUUUGUGAAAGCUAACAGAGCAGAUCAUAACAGCAACGGCAGUGGGAAGUCUCUUAGCAGGGGCCAUUCUAGGUGUUGCGUUUCAAGAGAUGACGGAGGCCAUUAAAGAAUCAAAGUCAAGGUGCAGCAACUUCAGAGACGCCCUAAACAGCCUUGAAAACACCUUGAGCUUGUUAAGUCCUUUGAUCAAAGAAAUGGAUAGGUUAAAUCAAGAGCUGGAGGACUCUAAUAAAAGAGAAGAGAUCAUUCGUUUGUUUCUUCAACAGCUGAAGAAAGGGUGGUUUCAAAGUGCUCAAGCAUCCGUCGCUGGAACUUGUCUUAAUUCACUUUUUUUGGACUUAGAUUUUUUUAGCAUAUUUGACUACAAAAAUUGCUUUAACAUAAGUUUAAAUUGACUAUUUUACCCUUAUAAAGUAAAAUUAUCAAGAAUUUACUUUAACUUCAAUAUUUUUCUAAUUUGUGCCAAACUCAUUGUUUCUACUACUACUUUAUUAGUAUGAUUAUUAUUUUUAAUUAAAUUAACAUAGUACAUUUAUAGCACAAUUCUCAUAUAAAUUAUUAGAUUGUUUAAUUUAUGUCAUUUACACGUAAGGGUAGUGAAAUAAUAAUUACGUUUCAUUUAAAAAUAUUAGAUUAUAAGUCACAAAAUUAAAUACCCAAAUUAUUAGAUACAAUAACUCAUGUUUUAUAAGGGUAAUUUUUAUCUUUUUAUAUCAUAAUAAUAAAAUAGUAAAUUAAAAUUUAUGAUCAAAGAUGGUCAAAGAACCUAAGAAAAAAAUUAAUAGAAAGAUUUAAUUGAUUAACUAUACAAAACUUUUAUUAAUUUGUAUUUUUUAGGAAUAUUGUGAACUUAUUGUAAUUGUUUUCUAGAAGUGGGGAGGAUUUAUAAAAAUAGUGGGAUGAAAAUAUCCCCAUCCUAUAAUUGAUUGAACCACAAAAAUAAGAGUAAAAAUAAAUCACUUGAAAAUUUUUAUCAAUACCCCUUAUUUAUUCUAAUUUUCAUAUAAUAAUAUAGUUUUUAUUUUAUUUUCAUGUAUGUCCCAAAUCCUAGGGGUGUUCAGAAUCCAAUCCGAUCCGCUCAAUCCGUUUGAUCUAUAGAAAUCUGAUCCGUAAAAAUUCAAUCCUUGGAUUAGUGGAUUGAAAAUUUCAAAAUCCAUAGUCAGUGGAUUUGAUAUAGAUUUACUUCUGUAAAUCCGUAAAAAUCCGUGAAUCCGCAAAAAAAAAUAAAAAAUAUUAUUUAAUAAAAAAUUAAAUUUCUGCUGUACCGUACAUCCGCCUUGGCCGUACAGCAGCUGCCACGCAACGACGUUGAAACCUGAAACCGUCAAAGAAAGAGUAGUAGGUAGAAAAGAACAAAAAUGAGGACAAAAAUGCUAAAAGAUAAAAAAUAAACAAAAGACAAAUCGUUACUUUAACCAAUUGACUAUGCGUACACAUGUCAUUACUCAAUUGGAUCAUGUCCUCGAUUUUCUCUCCAUUUUUGCACUUCCAUUAUGGGCUCGCUUCAAGGUAAAUAUUUUAUUGAUAAAAAUCAACAAUAUCAUGUAAUUUAUAAAAUGGUGAAAUUUAAAAUCAUUAUGACAUACAAGUACGAUAAGAAUCAAGAUCGUAAUGUCACCUAUAUAUGAAAAGAAUAUUUACAGUAUCAUGAAAGUACACAUCCGCUCAAAAAUUUUGAGCGGAUGUCUGUUUCUGUAAAGAGUUAAAAAGAACAAGUAGUCGAGCAAUUAAAUCCAAUUGCAACACUCAACCUGAUACAACUUUGCCCGAGAUUAAUGAUAAGUCAGCACUUGAAACAGAGGAAGAAGCCCAGCUGGUCGAGGAGCACAUAAAAGGUCCAGCUCGUAUGCGCAGGGCACCAACAUACCUCAAAGAUUACAUUACCUAAAGAAUAUUCGAGAAGACACAGAGAGAGUGGGAAAAAUGGUAGCUGUGAUUUUAUUAUUUUGUUGUGACUAUUUUUUUUAAGAAUCAUUACGUUGUUGGUUAGUUACACGUGUAAUGUUGGGGUGUAAAAGAUAUAUGUAGAGGGGAAUACGUCAUACAAAGGAAUGGAACAGCAAAUAUUUCUUCUUCUCUCUCCGUCUCUCCUGCUAUCUCUGUUUCUCAAUUAAUUUCAAUUCUUUUUGCUUCUUUUUGCUGAAGUCAGCACUUACUCGAAAAGUGUAAAUCUAUGAUAUAAACUCUGACUUGCAGAGUUGUAUCACAACCCGUCAUCAAUCAAGUAAAUUACCGGGUCAUUGCUUAAUCUUUAAUUUUUAUUUCCCAUUCCAGUAUUAAAGAUUAAUUCUACUUGUAUACUUGGUCAAAAGAGGAAAAAAAUGCUACUUGUACAUGAUGGCGAAUUAAAAAAGAAAUUGAAAAUUGGUUCCCAAUUCUCAUCUGAGGAAAAAUUACAUGUUGGCUUUAAUUAAAUAUUGAAUAAUAUUACUCUCUUUUUAGUAGUACCUCAAUCUCGAUAUCAUUGCGAUGCUUAUUUAAAAAGUUUAUAGUUAAUUAACUUAUUUAUUAUUAUUAUUACUAUUAUUAUUAUUGAAUGACUGGAUUAGUACGCUUUAUAUAGGGUUUCAGAUUUCAGCACCAAAUUCUCUGCACGCGUGAUUCAUCAAUGAAAAUGGAUAUUCCACAGGCGGCUCAGCUCGAGGAAAAUUGUGUGAGGGAAGUUAUGAUUCUAUUCUUCUUCUUCUUCUUCUUCUUUUUGUAAAAUGGAUGAGAUUCCAAAUUGAAAAUCUUGAUGGUCAGUUUCUGGAAUUUCAAACCAAAGAGAUUAGUGUUGAUAGGGAAAAUAUUCUACAUUAACUGAGAAUAGUUACAAAACUCUUGAGCUAAUUAUUAAGUAUAAAUUAGCCUAACGAUAGACAUACAAAAAUGGAGACAAAAUCAGGAAUAAGAAUCAAUAGAGCAAUAGUAUGUUCGCAUAAUAUGAUCAAUUAGUUAAAGUAAAUGAUUUGUGUUUUAAUUACUUUUAAAAAGUAUAGAUAAGUAAUUAACUUUUGCUAGUGGUUUUUAAGGAGUUCUAGUCGAAUAAUUUGGGCUUUGCCCGUACUCCUUUUUAUUUUCCUCACAUCGAUGCGUAGAUACUUGUGGAGGUAAUAACUAGUCAUGAUCCAAUUGGGAGGGAAGAUUAAUUCCAGAAUAUGCAAUGACCAAGUCAAUAGAUCGAGCUCUAGACGACCCCAUAUAUAUAUAUAUAUAAUGAAUGAAAUAAGAUGAUCAUUAUAAUUAAAAAAUUUUAUAUAAAUUAUUUUUGUAUAAACUAAUGUGAUAUUAUAUAAUUGAGAGUGAUGAUAUCCCCACUCCACAUUUUUUUUGUAAAUCCACCCCAUUUUUAAAAUAUAAUUAUAAAAGUUGCACUUUUUUAAAAAAAUUUCAAAUCGAGAAGAAUUUUGGAGAAUUAAUUAAUUAAAUUUAUCUUAAUUCACUUUUUUUGGACUUAGAUUUUUUUAGCAUAUUUGACUACAAAAAUUGCUUUAACAUAAGUUUAAAUUGACUAUUUUACCCUUAUAAAGUAAAAUUAUCAAGAAUUUACUUUAACUUCAAUAUUUUUCUAAUUUGUGCCAAACUCAUUGUUUCUACUACUACUUUAUUAGUAUGAUUAUUAUUUUUAAUUAAAUUAACAUAGUACAUUUAUAGCACAAUUCUCAUAUAAAUUAUUAGAUUGUCAAAUUUAUGUCAUUUACACGUAAGGGUAGUGAAAUAAUAAUUACGUUUCAUUUAAAAAUAUUAGAUUAUAAGUCACAAAAUUAAAUACCCAAAUUAUUAGAUACAAUAACUCAUGAUUUAUGAGGGUAAUUUUUAUCUUUUUAUAUCAUAAUAAUAAAAUAGUAAAUUAAAAUUUAUGAUCAAAGAUGGUCAAAGAACCUAAGAAAAAAAUUAAUAGAAAGAUUUAAUUGAUUAACUAUACAAAACUUUUAUUAAUUUGUAUUUUUUAGGAAUAUUGUGAACUUAUUGUAAUUGUUUUCUAGAAGUGGGGAGGAUUUAUAAAAAUAGUGGGAUGGAAAUAUCCCCAUCCUCUAAUUGAUUGAACCACAAAAAUAAGAGUAAAAAUAAAUCACUUGAAAAAAAUUUAUUAAUACCCCUUAUUUAUUCUAAUUUUCAUAUAAUAAUAUAGUUUUUAUUUUAUUUUCAUGUAUAUCCCAAAUCCUAGGGGUGUUCAGAAUCUAAUCCGAUCCGCUCAAUCCGUUUGAUCUAUAGAAAUCUUAUUCGUAAAAAUUCAAUCCGUGGAUUAGUGGAUUGAAUUGGAUUGAAAAUUUCAAAAUUCGUAGUCAGUGGAUUGGAUAUAGAUUUACUUCUGUAAAUCCGUAAAAAUCUGUGAAUCCGCAAAAAGAAUAAAAAAAAUAUUAUUUAAUAAAAAAUUAAACUUGUAAAUAUGGCAUUAGUACUUACUAAUAAAUAAAUAAGUUAAAAUAUAGUUAUAUAACACCAUAUUAUAUCUUAUCUGAUAAUAAUAUAAAAUAAAAAAUAAUUAAAUAUACAUGUAUAGCUUCCUAAGCAAUUCAUUUCAUGUAUUGAUCUAAACAUUGAGAUUUUUUUCUUUUCAGUGUGCUAUAUUUUGAAACUUUAAAUGUAUUUCCUAACUUUAUUUAAACAAUUAAUUAAUUAAUUUUUUUUUAAUUUUCGAUAGGAUACAAUCUAAUAACCCACUUAAUACCUAUAUAUCUAAUAGGAUUUACAUCAAACAUCACACAAUAUUUGAUACAAAUUGGUUAUGUAUGUAUUUAUAAUUCUCAAAUGCGGAUGUCCUCGCAAGAAUUUUCGUGUGGAUAUGCACUUUCACGGUUUUUGUAGAAUAUUUAUGAUGUUGUAAAACUUUUUGCGAGAACAUGCAAGUACUUGUCCACAUGAAAUUUAUCACAGACAUCUACAUCUAAGAAGCUAUAUAUGUGUGUGUGCGCGCAUGUGUGUAAAUAAUAUAAUAUAUUAACAUUAAAAAACAAAAUAAUGAUAGAGGUACAUACAGUUUUGCACAAAUCGAUGUGGUAUAAAGAGAUUGACAAAAGUAUUAUAACAAUUAUUUUUUCAGUUAUACGGACCCAUGAUGGUUUUAUGUAACCAAUCGACCCAUGAUGGUUUUAUGUAACCAAUCCCAUAUGUCUACUAAAAUAUUACACAUUUACAUGUUCAUCCUUAAAAAAUUUAUAAAAGAGAGAGAGAGAGAGAGAGAGAGAGAGAGAAAUUUUAUUUUAAUUGGUAGCAUGUAAGUUUUUAUCUAUUAGUAGUAAUUUUUUUUUUCAAUUAGCAUCAAUUUAGAUUUUUAUCAAGGUAAUAACAUUAAGUUUAGAUUCUUUUAAUUUUAUUUAGCAUAAUUAAAAAUGUAUUCUUACAAUUUUUGUAGACGUCAAAAAGGUCAUAUUUUAAUGGGCUGUGUUAUAGGGUUCCGAUUGAUACAAUACAAUUAUCUCUUUCAUAAUCAUAUUAUUAAGAACUUGAGCACUAACUCAACAUGGAAAAAAACAAUUCAUGUUGACUCGGAUCCAGCCUAUUAAAUAAUCGCAUCAAUACGAUCCAGACUCAUUUAUUCGAAUCAUAUUCGUGCUGGGUAAAUGGGUCAUGUCAAAUUUUGCUAGCUCUAACUUCAAUACUAGAUUAACUAGGCAGUUGCCUAAGACCCGAAAUUUUAAAAAUCCCUCAAGUUUGAGCAUUUAUUUAUUAAUACACUUAUUACUAAUCAUUAUUCUUUACAAUUUCAUAGAUUUGUUUAAGUUAUGUUUAUAGGAAAUCCAAAUUUUAGACAUCUCCCUAUUAUUACUCUCAUUCAUAAUUAUCUAAAAGAAUUUUAAUUUCAGUACAAAUUCUAUUUUUGAUAAUCUAAGAUUUAUUGUUAAAAAAUUAAUAUUUGAUAAUCUUCACAAUAUAAUUAAUGAUUUUAACUGUUAAUUUCUUUUUUUGUUUAAUCUUUCCAAGGAAAAAAUUUAAAUGCUUCACUUUCCAGAAGAAAAAAAUACUCUAUUAAAAUUAUUUACCUUAGAAUUGACUCUUUGUAUUCUUCAAACUCUAAUGAAAACCUUAAAAUGAAUAUAUUUUCAAUCAACAAUAAUCUCAGUUAAAAAAUUUCUUGCUCCUUUUUUCUAGAAAGAAAAUGAUUCUCUAUGAAAUCUAUUUCCAUAAUCUAAUCAUCAUAUUCAUCUCAACUAGUCAAUUUUUAAGGUGUUAUCAUUCUAGUUAUACAAUUUAAAAUUAUUGUUAUUUUUUACGAAUUUUUUUUAUUAAUGUAGAGCUUGAAUAUAUUAUGAACUAUUUUAUAUUUAUUUGACGGUUGAUGUUAUUGAAUGUAUGAAGGCAUAAAAAAAUACUCACCUAAGAUCAUGAAUCCUUGGAGCCGGCCCUGUCUGAUGGUAUAACUAAGAGUAACCUUGAUUUAUUAGCUUGUUGUGGGAUUUUAAGGGGCCUCGAUGGUGGUUUUUAUUGGGUUGAAUGCUGCUUUACUGAGUGAUGUGACUAUAGAUGGCAAAUAAAUCUGGAUCUAACCCGAUCCGUAAAGAUCUAAAUUUGGAAAAAUCUUGAUUCACAUAAUAAUUAAUGUGGAUUUAGAUGUAAAAAUUUAGGACCCAUAAAAAUCUGAUGCACUUGCAUUGGAAAGACCGAAUAUUCGGUCCGCAUAUUUUUUUAAAAUAAAUUAAAUAAAAAAUAAAAUUUAUAUAAGAAAACACAAACUCUAAGCUAAAAAUGCAUUACACAUAUAUAUUGUAAUACACCCCAAGUACCCAUAAAUAUUAUUUUAGAAUAUUUUAGAUUUGUUUAGUAUUGGAUGAUUAUUUUUUUAAAAAAAUAGUUAAAAUAUGAGUAAUUUUACAUAUAAAUAUUUUUAAUGUGUGAACCUAGAUACCCGUAAUUAGGGGUGAGCAAAUACGGGCUUGGAUCAACCCGAUUGAAUUUUAGAUUAUUAUGUCUUAUUUAUUAUUUCUAAAUCUUGAAAAUUGUAUCAACUUUUGUGACUAUGUCCCUGAUUGUGAUUAUCUUAUACAACUUUUGCUAUAGUUUUUAAUUUUAUAUUCUGGGACCUUCGUGAAUUAGAAGACAUAACAAUCUUCGAAUACCUCGAUGUGUCAAAAAGGAAUGCAUUUGCAACGUAAGAUAUAUAUGAUCAUCACGAUCUUCAAUUCAAUAAAGCAGGUUACUAGCACUUUAAACUUGCAAAACUAUCAGGAUUUCCUAUUACUGCUUGGCUCAUUAUGUUAAUCGUUUUGCUUAUUUUCAGAUCAAAUGAUUCUAUGUUCUAGGAACACUACUAAUGGCACUUUGUUAAAUAAAUGCCUAGUUUUACAAUAUUAAUCUACCUGCAUGUGCGUACACUAAAUAAUUAACCAAAAUGGAUUGAAAACUAAAGAUGGUGAAUUGAAAACUAAAGCACAGAGGACAACGAUCAAAAUAAGAGAGUUGAAACGAGCCAUUAAUGUAGGUUAAUUUGGAACAAAUUUAGAUAUAUACUAUAAUUUUGAGGAUGAGUUUAAGUUAACAAAUUGGUAAAUGGGAUAGUGAGUAUCAGUAGUACUAUAUGUGUGUGUGUGUGUUAAGAAAGCACACACAUGUAGCAUAGUCAACAAAGCAGAGGGUUACAGUGGUUACAAAGCAAGGGAUUGCUGCAGCUAUUGCAUACCAUUACAAGUUGAUGAUAUGAGCUACCAGCUAGCACCUGGUAGUUACGUGACUACUUGUGCACAUGAUAGUCAGCUUAAUUAGUUAUAAUUUGUUGCAAUUAGGUGAAGUUAGUUAUAGUAAUUAGCUAAAGCUCAACACUGUAUAUAAACAAUUCAUGUGUACAUAUUUUUCUUAAGUUUCUAAUGAAUGUGAAAAAAGCUUCUAGAUUCAGUUUUUAUUUUCUUUACUUUUUAUUAAUUUUCUCAGUUUCCAAACACUCAAAUUGAUCUUUUCAACUUGGUAUCAGAGCCAAUAAUGCCCAUUAUGAAUCUUGCAUCUUCUUCUAAUCAAGUUCCUAAUGCUACAACUAACUCAACAAAUGUUUCAUUUACCUUUAACACACUUGUUAAGCUAGAUAAAUUAAAUUAUUUGAUCUGGCGAUCACAGGUUCUUGCAUCAAUUCGUGGUAACAAACUAAAAAAUCUCAUUGAUGAAACAAUUAAUCCUCCUCAUUUUCACAUCACUCAAGGAAUUGGUAUUAAUGCUAGAUCUGUGGAGAAUCCAGAUUAUGUAACAUGGAGAUCAUAGGAUCAGGUGUUGCUCGGUUGGUAGCUCUCUUUAAUGAAUGAAGGCAUCAUUAGUCUUGUGUUCAAUUUGGAAACAUCACUUGAAGUAUGAAAAGUUGUUGAGGUUCAAUUUGGAUCACAAUCAAAAUCCAAACUCCCGCAUCUGAGGUACAUGAUGAAUUUACUAAGAACGAUGAUUUGAAAAUAACUGACUAUUUCUCAAAAUGAAAACUAUAGCUGAUAAUAUGGCUGCAGCAAGAAGUGCAAUGAGUAAUGAUGGUUUGAUUUUGCAUAUACUCUCUGGCUUAGGACCAGAUUAUAACUCAGUAACUACUUACAUUACUAGACAAGUAGGUGCUGGCAAAAUGAAUAUUAAUGAUACUUAUGCAUUGCUUUUUGACUCAAGGAGCUAGAAUUGAACAAAAAGCUCAAAAGCUUGCUAAUAUGAAUGUGAAGCAGAAUUUUGAAACUAAUUUUGCACGGAAUAGAGGACCUAAGAAAGGAAAUGAAAGUGCUGGUAGUUAUGGCUAUACCUUUGGUUAUGGUAAUAAUGGAAACUUUGGUAAUAAUGGAUAUAAAAGAGGAUAUACGAGCUCUGGUUUUACUAGUAAUGCUUUUAGAUUCAAUCCUCAAUUUAGAGGUUUUCAAGGAGAUAACCAAAAAUGAGUAGGAAACUGAAACACCAAGGCUGUUAGUGUAGAUUUAACAAUGGAAGAGCACCCGGAAACCCUAAAUCUCAACAGAAUUCCUCUAAGCCAACCUGUCAAAUCUACAUGAGAACAGAAUAUACAGUAAACAUUUGCUGGAAAUUGGAAGACUUUAUUGCUUCUGGAUCCUACAGGCCACCUCCAAAUAGAAAUCCAACAGCUGCAUACUUGGCUGAUAUGGAAGGUCCUUCUGAUGCCAACUGGUACCUUAAUAGUGGGGCUAAACAACAUCUUACAAAUAAUAAGAACAAUAUGCAAAUCACAGACUCUUUUGCAAGUACAUCCAAACUUAUCAUUGGUAAUGGAAUUGGCCUGAAUAUCACACACAGAUUGGGAAUGCUACUCUUAGGGUGCAUGGUUCAUUAAAUUCCACCACUACACUUAAACUGAAUAAUAUACUAUUAGUUCCACAAAUAACCAAAAAUCUUAUAAGUAUAUCUCAAUUAAUCAAAGAUAAUGACAUUGUUGUUGAAUUUACUAAUAAGUUCUGUUUUGUGAAAGACAUGGUGAAGAAUUUGAUCAUACUAUAGGGCAAGGCUGAAAAAGGUCUAUACAGAUUGCUAUUGAUCUCCUCUAAUAAGAAUGUCUCUGCGUCUUCUACUCAAAAUCUUGUUAUUAAUGUUAAAUCAAUUGUCUUAAAUGUGUCUAUCAUUCCUCUUUCAAUGAUUUCAACUAUCAUUUCUGAUUCCAAUAAUAAAACAAUAGCAUUUACUGAUAGUGUAAACUUUAAAUGUUUGUUAAGUGCAUCUAUUUUACAUCAAAGACUAGGGCAUCCAAACUCUAGAGUACUAAAUCAUGUAAUUCAAUCAUGUUCUUCCUUUAAAAACAUAACUGGAAACAAAGCUUGUGAUUCAUGUGAUGCUUGUGAUUCAUGUGAUGCUUGUAAACUUGGCAAAAUGCACAAACUGCAUUUUCCAGUUACUGAAACUAAAACAAAGCAUCCUUUAGAAAUUCUUCAUACAGACCUGUAGGGACCAACUCUUAUACUUUCAACACAAGGAUACAGAUACUAUGUAAGCUUUGUUGAUGAUCUCACUAGGUUCUCAUGGUUCUUUCCUUUAAAAACUAAGGAUGAAACAUUACAAGUCUUCAAAAUCUUGAAAACUCAAAUUGCAAAACAACUAAAAAGGCCUAUUAAGUGUCUUCAUUUUGAUUGGGGGGGAGAGUUCAAACCUUUUGUCAAUUAUCUUCAUGAAAAGGGAAUUCAAUUUAAAUAUUGAUGUCCUUAUACUCAUAACCAAAAUGGUCUAAUGGAGAGAAAACAUAGGCACAUCACAUAACUAGGUCUUACUUUACUUGCACAGGCCAAUUUACCUCUUAAAUUCUGGUGAGAUUCUUUUCACACAGCUGCUUAUAUUAUCAAUGGAUUACCAACUCCCACAUUGUCUAUGAAAAUUCUUUAUGAGUCUAUCUUUCAUUUUAAACUAGAUUAUACCUUCCUUAGGACUUUUUUUUGUUCAUGAGCCUAGCAAACUCAUUGAGGUAAGGGGUCAGGUACUCUGGUCGGUCUUCCGGCAAUCGAUGUUUGGGUCCUGCUGGUGGGGGGAGCAGCAGGACCAGCAUCGCUCGAAGUUCCACUAGUUUCACCAGCCGUAGGAGGAGGAGGUGGCAAUGCCUUCAAAGGGGAAGUUUUCUCUAUAGCAUUGCUCGCUUUCCAAGGGGAGCCUCCUUGUUGCGACCUCCUUUAGUAACAUUAUGACGAGGACGUUUUCUACUCAAAGCCCCAAUCACAACAUCCUUCAUAGCGUAAGCGUCGGAUACCAAGCUAGAUUCAACCAAGUUACGAGUAGACAGCAGGUCUCUCCACGGGCAAGAAUUCGCCAACGCAGUCUCGACCUGCUUACGUAAUUCAAGUUUAAGGCCGUAAUGUACACCCCAAGAACUUGCAGCAUGAGCAGAGACCAUGUUAGAAAUAAUUAAGUCACUAGGACAGAUGGGGUGCAAUACAUCUAAAGCGAGCAGGCAACUUGGAACUGUGAAACGGGAGGGGACAUGAACGUUCCGACCAUUAGUCUGUGCCAUUUAACCCUAGGGACCCCCAACAAAAAAGAAUUUCUUUUUCCAAUUCCCACCACCACCUGUUGGGAGGUCAGUUAUAGGUUUUCUAUCUUGGUACUCGACAUGAAAAAAUACCAACAACAUCAUUAGGGCUGCUCUUUAGCUGAUACAGGUGUUUGACCUCGUCAACUGUUGGCUCACUCUGACCACACCUGUCCCAUAGAACGAACAGACCAAAAAGUACUCUCCAUCCAUUUUGGUUAAGUUGAUCAGGAGCUAAAUGUAAUCCACUAAGCAUUUUGAUGAAAUAAGGCUGCAAUGGAAUCCUCAUCCCCAAUUUAAAGCUUUCUAAAAACAAAGUAACGAACCCCUUAGGAGGUCGGCUGUGAGUAUUUUUUUUCCUCGGAAUUCUAAGGUCUAUACCACUAGGGAUCUUGUAAACGGUUCGAAGCUCCUCAAGGUCAUCUACUGUGGUUAAACAGGUCAUGAGGUCAAUAGGGUAAUGUUCGGCCAGAGUUCUACCACUUAAUUUCCUCUUUUUCUGUGGUCGUGCUAUUUCUGGUGAGGAUGCUUCACCAAACUCUUCACUUGGGUGGUCACUUAUGGUUUCCUCUAAGCCAAAAGAUCCUUCGUCGUUACUGUUGCUAGGCGAGGUGGUUACUUCAGGGGACAUCCUCCUAGCACUACUCCUAACACUAGAGGGUCUUACCGGCUCUAAGGGGAUCCUGGGGUCGAAAGCGGGCUCUGUGAGCAGAUCAGGCAGGAAAUCUAGUUCAUCAUCAUCAAUCUCAAUUACAUUUUCUUUGCCUUUUGACAUUUCGUAAACUAUAUCCAGAACAAUACAACCAAAUGCCACUCAACCCAAGAGAAAAUGAUAAUUAUCCAAGACUGAAAAAAAGGAAAUAAUACCUGAAGCAGUGGCACGCUAGAACAGAGGCAAGAAAAGUGGCUUCAACUUCGGUGGAGGAAGAUCGCUUGGUCACCGGAGGAUGAAAAGAAGACUAAAAGAGGAAACUUUCUUUUGAUGGUUAGGGUUCUCAAGUAACGCGGAAACCUUUAGUUUAUUAGCAUUUAACAGUACGCACUCUGAGGGUUUCAUAACCGUCAAUUUGAAAUUUAAACGAAUGGAUGGAUUCCUUCCACAUCACCCGCGUUUAAUUACAAUGCGACUCUUCAGGGAAACGAUUGUUAGCAGCUAAAAAAGGGAGUGAAUGUAGAAAGCGAGCAGUUCCUCCUCUCAACAUCAAAAAGUCGUAAUAUACCCCGAGCAAGCCAGGACUACUGAGUUUCUAGUAUUGAUCCAUUGCAUUACCAAUACCAGAAACUGAGGGACUGAUGUUUGGGGGUAUAUUAUGACGUGACCUGUCAUACCCCAAACGAGGAUUUAUCUUUCUCAUAAUUGAGGAGCAAUAUGACGUCCGAGAGCAGGCAUCCGGGAGCAAGAGUUUUCUGCUUGUUUACGAGGAUGCCCUUUGCUGGAUCGUAGUAUGAGCAGGUUCUUUGCUAGGCGCCGAGAACAUUUCUUGUUGAGGGUCGAAGUCAGCAGACCCAGUCUACGGCAGUUAACAGGACGUGCGCUACUAUCCGAGAAUCCAGGCACGAAGUCCACUCAGCCGCAACCAUAACAUUCAACCAUCCACUUCCAGGGACUCAGGUGAAGUGGCGAACGUGAGUCAUGGGGGGUCGAAUUCUCAGAAAGGCUAUAAAAGGGUUGGUUACAAAAAACACUAAAAAUUAACUGAAAAGAAAAUCCAGGGGGCGUUCUUAUUGAAACCUCGGGAGAAUCCAGACAGAUUACAGUACCUUAGAAAUAGUGAUAGAGCCACAAGAUUAGUGGCAAGUAUUUUCCACAGUAAAUCCCGAUUGCUGACUUGAGCAUCGGAGGGUUUACGCUGGGAAAAUCCCCGGCGUGCUCUGACUGGUUUUUUUGUGUGCAGGAGCUUAAAGAGAAAAUGCAGUAAACCUUCUGGUCUGAUACAGCUAGAAGGAGCAGCGCGAAAUCAUUCCCUAUCAACCAAAAAUUCAACUGUUGAAGAGGAAUCCUGGUCGUGCAUGAGUAGACCCGAAAUCUCGUAUGAACAAUAUGUAUAAGAAUAGUUGUCCAGGGCUCGAUCUAUUGACUUGAUCAUUGCAUAUUCUGGAAUUAAUCUUCCCUCCCAAUUGGAUCAUGACUAGUUAUUACCUCCACAAGUAUCUACGCAUCGAUGUGAGGAAAAUAAAAUUAACUAAAAGACAAACCAUUUCUUUUUGGGAAAAGGACAAACACACCCCCAACGUUUAGGUGAAGGGACAAAAAACCCCCUAACGUUUUAAAAAGACAUUUACAUCCUAAUUUAUUAUAAUUUUAUCAUUAUACCCUUCUAGCAUAUAAAAAAAUUAUUAAAUUAUCCAAUUUGUCUAUAUAUUGUUAAUAAAAUUGCCUAAACAUUUAUAUCCAAAUUCAAUUGAGUGUUUUUUAUUACGAAUUUUAAUAUCUAAUUCAGAACGAUUCUAUCCAAACUCAGCGUUUUUUAGUUAAGAAUUCUAAUCUCAAUUCCACUAUCUAUAUAUUGUAAUUGAGUUACGUUGAAAUUUUUAUAAUUAUUUUUUAAUUAUAUUUUUAAUUAUAUAGGGAAAUUCUCAAUUGUAUACCCUAUAGUUACUCUGUUAUCAAAAAUACUACAACACUUUAAGGGUAUAUCAAUCGUCCAUCCUAAAUUGACAAAAGCUAUCUGUCGACCACCAAACCGUUAGCUGCCGUUUGAAAGUUAACGGAAUUAUAGUGAAUUGAUAAUUUUAUCCUUGAAACUUAAAUUAAAGUAAAAUAAAAUUAUCACUUGUAUACCCUUAAAUUCUUUUAUUAUCACUUGUAUACUCUUAAAUUAUCACUUGUAUCAUAUGAAAAGACCAAAUUAUCCCUCUGGCGUCAUCCUAUUUAAACGGCAAAUAAUGGUUUGGUGGACGGCAGAUACAUUCUGUCAACUUAGGGUGGACGAUUGAUACACCCUCAAAGUGUUGUAGUAUUUUUUAUAACAGAGCAACUAUAGAGUAUACGAAUGAUAAUUUCCCAAUUAUAUAUGAACCUUAAUAUCAAAUUAUAAAAUUUUAUUAAAAAAUCUACGAUUAAAAAAUAAUGAAGAUAUAUUUACAUAUAGAGUUAAUGGAUGUAUUGAAUUAAGUGAAGAGGCAUUCUAGUAUUAACUACUUAGAUUUACAUAUUAGAAUUUUAAUAAGAACACAUUGUUAAGCUCUAACAAUUUAUUAGAAAAAAUAUCUAUAGUUAAUUUUUCCUAAUAGCUCAAUAUUUCUAAUAUUUUAAAAUAUAUCUCAACAUUACUAAUAUUUUAAAAUAUUAAAAUUUGAUGAAGAUGGGAUGAUUAUACUCUUAUAUUUAAAAAAUUCAAAAUAAGAAAAUCAAGAAUUUGUUUUUUAAGUAUAAGAAAAUCAAGAAUUUUUUUUUCAAAAAUCAAGAUUAUGUGGGUAUAAGAAAAUCAAGAUUAUGCGACGACAAAUUUUUCAAAAGAAAAUUAUUAUCCUAACUGCGCAUAAGGAAAAUGUUAUAUUUGUGACAUAGAGUCCCUCAAACUUUGUGAUCGACGAAUAAAAAUUUACAUAAGACUAAACAAUCGGUCAAAAAUAAUUAACUGCGUUUUCAAAUGUCCGCAGCCCUAUCUAACAAAACUACAUGAAUAAAGCAAAACCCACGUCUCCCUUCAGGCUCGCCUCUCUUCUUCGCCUCCAAAAAGACCCGAAACUCGCUCUGCAACUCUUCAAAAACCCUAAUCCUAACCCCAAUAACACUGAAGCCCAACCAUUAAAACCCUUUCGCUACAAUCUCCUUCACUAUGACCUUAUCAUCACCAAGCUUGGCCGAGCCAAGAUGUUUGGCGAAAUGCAGAAAAUCCUUCACCAACUCAAGCACGACACUCGCGUCGUUCCCGAGGAAAUAAUUUUCUGCAAUGUUAUCAGCUUUUAUGGACGUGCGCGAUUACUCGAACACGCACUCCAAGUGUUUGAUGAAAUGUCGAGUUUUAAUGUUCAAAGGACGGUCAAAUCUUUCAACACGUUGUUGAAUGCGAUGUUAACGUGCGGAAAGCUUGAUAGAAUGACGGAUUUGUUUCAAAUUAUGGAGAAAUAUGUUAGCCCAGAUGCUUGUAGUUAUAAUAUAUUGAUGCACGGUUGCGUUGUAAGUCGGAGAUUAGAGGACGCGUGGAAGGUGUUUGAUGAAAUGCUUAAAAGAAGAUUGCAGCCAACACUGGUGACAUUUGGGACGUUAAUUUAUGGUCUUUGUUUGGAGUUGAGGGUAGAUGAGGCAUUAAAGUUGAAGGAGGAUAUGAUGAGAGUGUAUAAUGUGAAGCCUGAUGCACAAGUCUUUGCGUCAUUGAUAAAAGGGCUUUGUGCGGUUGGUGAGUUGAGUUUGGCACUUGGGUUUAAAGAAGAGAUGGUGAGAAAUAAGAUUGAAAUGGAUGCUGGUAUUUAUUCUACAUUGAUCAAUGCGCUUUUUAAGGCGAGAAGGAAGAAUGAAGUUCCUGGGAUUUUAAAGGAAAUGAAGGAGCGUGGGUGCAAACCGAAUUCUGUGACAUAUAAUGCAUUGAUCAGUGGGUUUUGUAAAGAGAAGGAUUUUGAAGCAGCGUUUACAAUUUUGGAUGAAAUGGGGCAUAAAGGGUGUAAGGCAAAUCCUAUUAGUUAUAAUGUAAUACUUGGGGGGCUUUGUAAGGACGGAAAAUGCAAUGAAGCAAAAGACUUGUUUGAGGAUAUGCCUAGACAGGGCUGCAAUCCGGAUGUUGUGUCCUAUAGGAUACUUUUUGAUGGGCUAUGCGAUGGGAUGCAGUUCGGGGAAGCUGCUUUAAUUUUGGAUGAGAUGAUUUUUAAGGGUUUUGUACCUCGUUCUGCUCGUAUACAUUUAUUUGUUGGUCAGCUGUGUGAGAUAGGGAAUGUGGAGGUUCUGUGGACAGUUUUGAAUACCCUGAUUAAGGGGAACGUUAUUGAUUUUGAUACAUGGAGAACUGUGAUUUCUAAGAUGUGCAAGGAUGACAUGCUCUUGAAUGCAUCUCAACUUGUUGAAUCCUUGAUUAGGCCCUAAAUUUGAGACUCUGGUAACCAAUAAUAGAGAGUUUGCAAGUGCGAACACAUCUCCUAGUUGCUAGACGUGAAUCUUUCUAUCUGUCUACAUGUUCAACAAUCACCAUGUUCAUGUCCGUAGUUGUUUUGGUCUGCACAGGUUUUAGCUCACCGGCCAAGUUGCCAAGUUAGGAGUUUGUAGAAAGUGAUAAUACAUGAGAGGGUUAAUGUGUACAACUUUAUUAGCUUCAAUCUGAAAGCAAUUGCAGUUCUGGAUGGUUUGUGCAGUAAUUUUCAUGGGCGAUCUUCAUUUUGGCCUGUCAUGUAGUCAGAUGUUUCAUAAUGCUCAAAAUCAUUAUGAACGAUUCUCAGGUACGUGUAACAGGAUAGCCAGCGUAGAUUUGGCUUACUUAUUGAAUAUCUUGUCUUUUAGUAUAACCCAGAACUUUAUAUAAAUACGUCUUUUGUGAGACCUUUUGAGAAUCCUUAAGAUUAGUCCAUAUAUAAUUUGAAAAUCUCCUCCGAUAAGGCCCUCUUGGUCGACACAGCUAAGAACUUAAUUAUUUCUGGGCCGCCAUCAAGAAAAAAAAAUCCGAGAUCAGAUAAGAGAUCAUUGAUCACAUCGAACGAAAAAUACAUUAUUUAAUUACGGGUUAAUUAGGAAAUCAAACAAAGCUGACUUGAGAGAGGUGCACAUGUACGAAUCUCUUUAUUACAUCAAAACUAACUGAUAAUGACAAUAAUUAGAACGAGAAACAUAUGUAAAUGGCAAGAUUAUUCAAAUAAUCUACACAUUAGAACUUGGCCUCAAGAUCUUUCACCACAUCUACGUCCAGCUGGAAUGCCUUGGCAAGAAAAUCAGGAUUGAUCGGAGGAUUGGCUCCGAAGACCGAGUUUGCAAUGGUAAUGACACCAGGAUUCUGGCUGCUUAGAGCAGCGAUGGCAACUGCAUUUGUUUUUCCAAUGUUGAACUGGAAGUGAAUCAAACCAAUUGGAAAAACGAAAACAUCUCCCUUUUUCAGAACUUUUGCAACGAGUGUGUUGUUUAGCUGGUUAGAUGUCACAAAACCGACAUAAAGUGUUCCUUCCAAGACCGUCAGGAUUUCAGUGGCACGAGGGUGAGUGUGAGGAGGGUUUUGGCCAUAGGGUGCAUAGUCUAUACGGACUGCUGAUAUUCCGAGAGUGUUGAGUCCCGGAAUUUGCUCAACAUUUGCAUUUUUUACACUGAAACCAAGUCGGUUUGCUGUGUUUCCAGGCUUGUCUAGCCCUGAUAAGAAGAAAUCUCCUGGCCUGGCAAGCUUGGGGUCCUUGCAGAACUUCCCGUUGACAAAGACUGCGUCCAAGAAUUCAGAAUAUUAAUUAGUAAGGUGAAUUUGAGACCAACGUACACGUAUACAUAAACAAGUUUAAAAGAUUUUUUAGGACAGAGAAAAUUAAAGUGUAAAAAAUAUACCUGCGUUCUUGGGCUCAUCAAUGGCUACACAGAUAUCCUGAAGAGGACUAGGGUCAAAGGCAGAGGCCAAUGAAGAAGCCAAAAUCAAGAGAGCAAAACCUGUAAGAAAUUGAACAUUUCUCAUUGUGUUUAAUUAGCUAGCUAGCUUUGGGAUCUCACUCUGUUUAAUCUCUGAACUUAUUCUUAUUGGUUUAGUGCGAGGUGAGAAAUGUUGCAAGGUUAGCAACCCUAUUUAUAGAUGAGGAUUUAUUGAACCGGUCUUGUUUUCCCGAUCUUCAUUUUGGCCUGUCAUGUAGUCAGAUGUUUCAUAAUGCUCAAAAUCAUUAUGAACGAUUCUCAGGUACGUGUAACAGGAUAGCCAGCGUAGAUUUGGCUUACUUAUUGAAUAUCUUGUCUUUUAGUAUAACCCAGAACUUUAUAUAAAUACGUCUUUUGUGAGACCUUUUGAGAAUCCUUAAGAUUAGUCCAUAUAUAAUUUGAAAAUCUCCUCCGAUAAGGCCCUCUUGGUCGACACAGCUAAGAACUUAAUUAUUUCUGGGCCGCCAUCAAGAAAAAAAAAUCCGAGAUCAGAUAAGAGAUCAUUGAUCACAUCGAACGAAAAAUACAUUAUUUAAUUACGGGUUAAUUAGGAAAUCAAACAAAGCUGACUUGAGAGAGGUGCACAUGUACGAAUCUCUUUAUUACAUCAAAACUAACUGAUAAUGACAAUAAUUAGAACGAGAAACAUAUGUAAAUGGCAAGAUUAUUCAAAUAAUCUACACAUUAGAACUUGGCCUCAAGAUCUUUCACCACAUCUACGUCCAGCUGGAAUGCCUUGGCAAGAAAAUCAGGAUUGAUCGGAGGAUUGGCUCCGAAGACCGAGUUUGCAAUGGUAAUGACACCAGGAUUCUGGCUGCUUAGAGCAGCGAUGGCAACUGCAUUUGUUUUUCCAAUGUUGAACUGGAAGUGAAUCAAACCAAUUGGAAAAACGAAAACAUCUCCCUUUUUCAGAACUUUUGCAACGAGUGUGUUGUUUAGCUGGUUAGAUGUCACAAAACCGACAUAAAGUGUUCCUUCCAAGACCGUCAGGAUUUCAGUGGCACGAGGGUGAGUGUGAGGAGGGUUUUGGCCAUAGGGUGCAUAGUCUAUACGGACUGCUGAUAUUCCGAGAGUGUUGAGUCCCGGAAUUUGCUCAACAUUUGCAUUUUUUACACUGAAACCAAGUCGGUUUGCUGUGUUUCCAGGCUUGUCUAGCCCUGAUAAGAAGAAAUCUCCUGGCCUGGCAAGCUUGGGGUCCUUGCAGAACUUCCCGUUGACAAAGACUGCGUCCAAGAAUUCAGAAUAUUAAUUAGUAAGGUGAAUUUGAGACCAACGUACACGUAUACAUAAACAAGUUUAAAAGAUUUUUUAGGACAGAGAAAAUUAAAGUGUAAAAAAUAUACCUGCGUUCUUGGGCUCAUCAAUGGCUACACAGAUAUCCUGAAGAGGACUAGGGUCAAAGGCAGAGGCCAAUGAAGAAGCCAAAAUCAAGAGAGCAAAACCUGUACAUUAGUAAGGUGAAUUUGAGACCGACGUACACGUAUACAUAAACAAGUUUAAAAGAGUUUUUAGGACAGAGAAAAUUAAAGUGUAAAAAAUAUACCUGCGUUCUUGGGCUCAUCAAUGGCUACACAGAUAUCCUGAAGAGGACUAGGGUCAAAGGCAGAGGCCAAUGAAGAAGCCAAAAUCAAGAGAGCAAAACCUGUAAGAAAUUGAACAUUUCUCAUUGUGUUUAAUUAGCUAGCUAGCUUUGGGAUCUCACUCUGUUUAAUCUCUGAACUUAUUCUUAUUGGUUUAGUGCGAGGUGAGAAAUGUUGCAAGGUUAGCAACCCUAUUUAUAGAUGAGGAUUUAUUGAACCGGUCUUGUUUUCCCUGCUCGGAGCAGAUCGAUGAAGGCUUGCCCAGUCUUCAAUUGUUCAUCUGUGACUCUGUAAAAACUGAGGAAACUUGUCAUCUCAGUACAUUUUCUUCUUCAUUUGCUUACGUCAACACAUUGUUUUUGAAAUACUGAGUCAUGGCAAUCUAUUUGUAUAUUAUUAUAUUAUCUAAAAAUUUCAUUGACAAACUCCAACUUCCAGAAUAGUGAAUGUUCGUUUUGAUUCUUUACUGUUUUUUAUUAUGUUUUAAGCAGGUGCGCAAAUAUUUUUAAGGCUGGGCCCUAAAAAUUGAAAUUUUCAGAACUACUACUCACUUUUUGUAGUUACAUAGUGUGUGCCGUUGUAACUGAUAUGUCGCUAAUCAUUUUUUUGUAAUUAUUUUUUUAUCAUGUGUUGGAUAUUAAUUGCAUAUAUAUAUAUAUAUAUUUUAUCUUUUAUCAAACAGGAAUCUAUAACUUAUUAUAGUGCAAGCGUAGUUUAUCAUGUGUUGGAUAUUAAUUAAAUUUUAUUUUAUUUUAUUUUAUCUUUUAUCAAACAGGAAUCUAUAACUUAUUAUAGUGCAAGCGUAGUUCAAGUGCAUUAUUUGUUAUAUUUUUAAAAUUUUGAAAGUAAAUCAACCACAUAAUUCACACCGGCAGACUUGAAUGUUACCUAAAUGAGUCUGAAGGGAGGUUUUAUCAUUAAGCCAUUGAGUGGGAUUCGAGUCUUGGUUAAAUAACAAUGACUAAUUCUUAAUGAAGUGGUUACGUGCUGCAAAAUUUUCUACCGUCAAGUAUUAUGUGCCGAUCUAUCAUAAUCAUCAUUACAAGAAAGAACCUAAUCCAACUCUUCACAUCUACGAAUACUAUCUAAUUGAAUUAUGUAAUGCCAAGUGGUAUACAAAAUUCUUACACAUACUUUUUCCAAUUGAAGAAAACUACAAUGAGUGAUGACGAUAGUAAUGUUUUCCCUAGUAUAUUUUUAACCUUUAUGGUAAGUUUAUUACAGUACUCACUAAGUUUUGAAAAAUGUUAUAAAAAUACUCCAAAUGAAAUUUAGAAGUUCGAAAUAGCAGAAUUUGGUAAGACUUCAACGGACAUCUCGGAGAAUCAAGUUUAUUUAGCUAAGUUGUAUUGUUUGGUUGUCCAGAAAGUAAAAGAAAAAGACAGAAAAUUCUGAUUGAAGCAAAAUCAAUGAAUCUAUCUUAUCAAUUAAUCUGAUUACAAGGCUUUUUAUAGUUACAUCUGGAAUAUUCUAUACAUGCUAAAUGCAUGAGCUUAAGUAACAUAAUUGUGCUAACAAACUAAGCUGACUAACAAAAAUACAACUAACUUGCUAACUGGUACUGCCACAUCACCAUCCUAUAACUAACUUGCUGACUUGUAUUGCCACAUCACUAUUCUUAGCAUAUUCCUUAAUAUCCCCCCUCAAGCUUAAGGUAUGGGAAGGACAUUAAGCUUGUUGCGAAGAUAAGCAAAAGCAUCAAAGGAGAGAGGCUUUGCGAGAAUGUCAGCAUAUUGAUCUGAGCUGGAAACAUGAGUGAUUUGAAGCUGCUGCUGAGCAAUAUGUUCCCGAACAAAAUGAAGAUCCAGCUCGAUAUGUUUUGUCCGAGAAUGAUACUACGGAUUACUAGCCAAUGCUUCAGCACUCUUGUUAUCAUAAUAUAAAGUGGGAGUCUGAACUAAAGAAACCUUAAGCUCUUUAAAAAGAUAAGUAAGCCAUAAAACUUCUGAAGUGGCUAGAGCAAGUGCUCUGUAUUCAGAUUCAGCUGAAGAACGAGAGACUAUGUGCUGCUUUUUGAAGACCAUGAAAUAAGAUUGUUACCCAAAAAUACACAAUAACCACCAAUGGAUUUUCGAUCAUCAGGGUCAGCACCCCAAUCAGCAUCAGAAUAAGCAUUUAGAGUCAAGGAACCUCAGUUAAAAAACUGAAGACCAUAGUGUGCAGUACAUUGAAGCUACCUUAGAACUCGUUUGCAUGCUUGCCAAUAAAGAACAGUAGGUGCAGCUAAAAAUUGACUAAGCUUAUUCACCACAUAAGCUAUAUCAGGUCUGGUUAGAAUAACAUAUUGCAGAGAGCCAACAAUGCUCCUAUAUAAGGAAGGAUUGCUAAAUGCUGUACCUUUAUCUUUAUGAAGUUUAUCAGUGGUAUUCAUAUGAGUAUUAUAACCCUUGCUAUCCAGCAUAUUAGCCUUCUUCAAAAUGUCUCCAAUGUAUUUAGUUUGAGAUAAAUGCAGACCUUGUAUAGAAAGAGUGACCUCAAGCCCAAGAAAAUAAUUGAACUCACCCACAUCCUUAAGUGCAAAUUCUAAACUGAGAUUAUGAAUAACUUACUCAACAAGCUGAGAAUUUGAGCCAGUGAUGAGAAUAUCAUCCACAUAAAUGAGAACAAGUAAAAUAUCAUGCCCAAUAUGCUGAAGAAAUAAGGAAGUAUCAGACUUGGACAUAAAGAAUCCUCAGUUCAAUAAGGAGCCUUUUAAUCUGUCAUGCCAGGCUCUUAGAGCCUGUUGAAGACCAUAUAAAGCUUUGUUAAGCCUACAAACAUAAGAAGGAUGAGCAAAGUCUAUAAAGUCCUAUGUUUGGUGCAUAAAAACUUCCUCUGUCAGAACACCAUUGAGGAAUGCAUUAUUGAUAUCAAAUUGUCUAAUUGGCCAAUGAUGUAUAACUGCCAAGCUCAAGACAACUCUCACAGUGCAAGGCUUAACUACUGGGCUGAAGGUCUCAAAGAAGUCAACACCCUAAGUUUGAUGAUAACCCUUAGCCACUAAACGAGCCUUAUAUUUGGAUACAGUGCCAUCAGGUUUGUAUUUAACUCUGUAAACCCAUUUAUUACCAACAAUUUUAGUAGCUGUAGUAGCAGGAACCAAUGUCCAGGUGUUAUUUCUUUGCAAGGCUUCUAUUUCUUUUUUCAUGGCAGAAAAUCACUUAGAAUCUUGAAGUGCUGCUUUGACAUUAGCUAGUUCAAGGUCUUGAGAUACUGCUAAAUAGGUUUUGGGCUUAAAAAUACCAGCCUUAGCUCUGGUAAUCAUAGGAUGUGAGGGAGGGAUAGAGGGAGAAGGAAAAUAUUGAGAUAAAGAGGAUGAUACUGAAUGUGAACUUGAUGUUGAAGACAAAGUAGAUGCAGGGGUAGCAGUUGAUGAGCCUUCACGAUUACUGUCAACAGGAGUACAACUUUGGAGGAAAGUGACUUGAGAAUGUGUUUGAUAAGCAGAAUUAGACAUAACGAAAGGAGACUGAUCUAAAAAAAAUUCAGUAUAGGGAAAUUCAGACUCAUUAAAAGUGACAUGCCUAGCAAUGAAGACUUUGCCAGAUUUAUCCAAGCACUUAUAGCUUUUAUGUAAAGGACUAUAACCAAUGAAGACACUGUUUUGGGUAUGGAAAUCAAAUUUAUGUUGAUUAUAAGGUUUGAGUAAAGGAAAACAAAAAAAAAAACAAAAACUUUAGUAAAUUGGUAAUUUGGUAUUUGGUUAUGCAGCUUUUGAAAGGGUGAAAUAUUUGCAAGUGUUGGGGUAGGCAUCCUAUUGAUAUGAUAAAUGGUUGUACGGAAGGCUUCCCACCAAAAUGAAAGAGGCAAGUGAGAUUGAGCCAAAAGAGUAAGGAUUGUUUCAACAAUGUGUUUAUGCUUCCUUUCCACCAUUUUGGUGAUGAGUGUGAGGACAACUAUAUCUAAAUUGAAUCUCUUCUUGUUAAAGAAAUGGUUUAAAGGCUAUGAAUUCACCUCUCAUAUCAGAUUGCAAUGCUUUGACAGGUAAAGAAAUUUUUUUUUCCACAAGUAGUUUGAAGUGUUUGAAUGUGUCAAGGGCCUCAAAUUUUAAUGUUAAGGGAAAUAUCCAACAAUAACGUGUAAAGUCAUCAACAAAAGAGACAUAGUAUUUGUAACCAUCCAUGGACAGUACUGAGGCUGGACCCCAUAAAUCAGCAUGUAAAAGCUCAAGUGGAGAUUUAGUUUUAAUUUUAGUAAUAGGAAAAUGUAGCUGAUGUAGUUUGCCAUACUGGCAAGCAUCACAAAAACCAAUAGAGCUAUUGUUAACAGAAUGUAAAGGAAGACAUUUUAUUAUAGCUUGUAGAGUAUGUUUAUUAAGAUGACCAAAUCUGUUGUGUAACAGUUUGAUAGACUCACUUCCUGAAGACAGAAAACUUGCAAGAUAACGACCAAAAUUAAGAGAGUUUGACUCUUGUGAAGAGUUUACAAUUUUAUUGGUAGAAAAGACAGACAACAUAGAGCGAGGAUUAAGAUUUUGAUUUGCAGAUUCAGAGGAAGAUUCAGCUUGUGACAGUAAUCUAUAAAGACCACCUUCAGCAAUCCCCUGUGCCAGCAGAGUUGCCUCCAUCUUGUCCUUAAUACAACAAAAAUUGGAAGAGAAUUCAAUUAUGAUGUUGUUAUUUAAAAGAAGUUUAGAUAUACUGAUAAGAUUUUAGUAAUUUUAGGUACACAUAGAACAUUGGUAAGGCUUAAACUGGUUCCAAAAGAAGUUAAGAAGCAAGCAUAACCAGUGUAUAUAAUUUCAAGACCAUCACUAUUACCAACUAGCAGCAAUUGAGAUCCAAGAUAAGGUGUACCUUUAGUUAAGUUGUGAACAAUGUUUGUAAGAUGAUGUGUUGCUUCACUAUCCAAGUACCAGCCUUGAUCUGCAACACCUACAGAACUCACCAUAUAGGCUGCCUUAGAAGUUUAAUUUAUUGGAAAGUAACCCUGAGCUAGAAAAUUUGGAACAAAGUUUCUGUUAAAUCUAUCUCUGUAAUCUGCUGCUGAAUGAUUAUAUUUGAAGCAAAUCUGACAAAUAAUACUUCCUCUGCCACCUCCUCUGCCAAAGCCAUUAAAAGGACCUGAGAAACCUCCAUUUCCAGAGAAACCACCCCUGCCUUGAUUAGCAUUCCAACCUCUUUUUGAAUUUUGUCCAGAAGAAUUACCAGUACCAGAAAAUCCUCCUCUUCUUGAUCCAAAACCUCCUCUAUUGUUAAAGUUUCCAUUCCAGCUACCAUUUGCAUUUUUAUUUUCAUAAUUUCCAUUCCAAUUCCCCUGAUUAUUAUUAUUCUAGCCACCAUUAUUACUUUGCUUCUUCUGAUUGUUUCCAGCUUGAGCAACAUUAGCAGCAUAGUUCAUCUUGAUUUCCUUGCUAGCAUUAGAAUUAGCAUUUUCUAGUCUAGCCUCAUGAGUUAACAGCAUAGAGUAAGCCUUGUUUAUGCUCAUCUUAAGGACAUUAGCCUCAAUGUAAACUACAACAGGAUAAUAAGGCUGACCUAGACCAGAAAUCAAGUGAGUGAUAAAAUCUAAAGAACUUACUAGACUUCCAGCAAUAGCUAAUUCAUCUGUUAUAGUUCUCAAUUUUCUAAAGUACUCAAUGAUAGUCAUAGAUCUUUUUUUAAGAUUGUUUAACAUCAUUUUUAAAUGAACUUUCUUAGCUGCUGUUUCAUAUCCAAAUUGUUGCUCCAAACUUAUCCAAUGUUCACGAGAUGAUUUAGAGUUUACCACAAGAAUGAGAAUCUCAACAUUGAUGGAAGAAAAGAGCCAACUCAACAGCAUUUGAUCUUGCUUCUUCCACGCAGCAUAUGCAGGGUUCUCUGAGACAACUACAUAUGAGCUUCCCGAUUCAUUAGAGAGAAACUGAUUUGGACAUAGUUUUGAUCCAUCGAGUAAUCCUUCUAGCUCAUUAGCAUGAACUAAAGAAAAUAUUUGUGACUUCCAAAUUGUGUAAUUAGAUCGGUCGGGUUUGAUUGGAUUUGUGAAAGUGAAAGAUGAGACUGAAGCAGUGAUUGGAGAGAUAACGCUUGUAUUCAAGCUAGAUGAAGCCAUAGCAAAACUUGAUCGUAGCUCUGAUACCAAAACAAAGUUUAUUUAGCUAAGUUGUAUUGUUUGGUUGUCGAGAAAGUAAAAGAAAAAGACAGAGAAAAUUCUGAUUGAAGCAAAAUCAAUGAAUCUAUCUUAUCAACUAAUCUGAUUACAAGGCUUUUUAUAGUUACAUCUGGAAUAUUCUAUACAUGCUAAAUGCAUGAGCUUAAAUAACAUAAUCGUGCUAACAAACUGAGCUGACUAACAAACUUACAACUAACUUACUGACUUGUACUGCCACAUCACCAUCCUAUAACUAACUUGCUGACUUGUACUGCCACAUCACCAUUCUUAGCAUAUUCCUUAACACGGAGGCCCUUUUUUAAUCUUUCAUUACCGUUUUCAAAACAAUAUAUUAUACUCACGAAUCGAACGUAUCUCUAGCCCAAACAAAUAUACAACCAUAUCAAAGCCAGCACUAGCUACACAAUGUCUUACAUCAUGCAUGCAAUAUUCGAACAAAUCCAAAAGAUCUUAUCAAUUGAAUCAACGAACAAAGAAAAAAUGAGUUUUAACUGUUGAAUAUGUAUGCAAAAUUCUAGGAAUUUGCCGGCAGCAAUAGGAGAAUUAUCAUGCAAGCAUGGACGAAAUUAAUCCAAUUCUUACUAGCUACAUUAUUGCCCCCCGGCCGGCUGCGUAGUGCAUAUAUACCAAACCCAAAUUAUAACUUUUCAAAAUUUUAAAAUUGCUGACUUGAGCACACACAUGCAGCAUAGUCAACAAAGCAGAGGAUUACAGUGGCUACAAAGCAGGGGAUUGCAGCAGCUAUUGCAUACCGUUCCAAGUUGAUGAUAUGAUGAUAUGGGCUAACAUAUUUCUCCAUAAUUUGAAACAAAUCCUUCAUUCUAUCAAGCUUUCCGCACGUUAACAUUGCAUUCAACAACGUGUUGAAAGAUUUGACCGUCCUUUGAACAUUAAAACUCGACAUUUCAUCAAACACUUGGAGUGCGUGUUCGAGUAAUCGCGCACGUCCAUAAAAGCUAAUAACAUUGCAGAAAAUUAUUUCCUCGGGAAUGACACGGGUGUCAUGUUUGAGCUGGUGAAAGAUUUGCUGCAUUUCGUCAAACAUCUUGGCUCGGCCAAGCUUGGUGAUGGUAAGGUCAUAGUGAAGGAGAUUGUAGCGAUAGGGUUUUAAUGGAGGAGCUUCGGUGUCAUUGGGGUUAGGAUUAGGGUUUUUGAAGAGUUGCAGAGCGAGUUUCGGGUCUUUUUGGAGGCGAAGAAGAGAGGCGAGCCUGAAGGGAGUUUUGCUUUAUUCAUGACUUCAUGUAGUUUUGUUAGAUGGGGUAUUGAAACUUGAAAACGCAGUUAAUUAUCUUAGACCGCUUGUUUAGUC
Molecule: long non-coding RNA, 65169 nt
Filed under: Citrus sinensis (sweet orange)
Lineage: Eukaryota; Viridiplantae; Streptophyta; Magnoliopsida; Sapindales; Rutaceae
Description: long non-coding RNA (CSIN_LNC002055)
Source: RNAcentral